GGACCGAUUCAAAUAUAUGGCUACAUUUGGUUCAGAUAUAAAUAAGAACUAUUUGUUUCAUAGAUAGAUAUAAAUUCAGGCGUAAACAGUAAUUAGAUUAAUUUUGUGUUUAGAUAAAAUUUAGGUUGUUACUGAAAAUAAGGUAAAUAGUAUUUGGGUGAUUAGAUUGUAAUAAAAGGAAUAAAAGUUAUAAUUUUAAAUUAAAAAUAUUUUAUCUAAUUAAUUAACAUCAAAAUAUUAAUUAAAGAUAAUUUCAUAAAUUAAUAAAUUUAUUAGCUAUGAAUAUUGUCUACGACAAUGAAAAUAUAUAUUAAUUAAUUAACUAAAUAUGAAGUAUGAUUUGAAUUUUUACUUAGUUAGUAAAUUAUUUAGUUAGAUAACUAGUAAAAAAAAUUAAUUAGAUUAAUAGAAAUAUUAAUCGUUGAUCAAUAUAAAUAUUAGUUUAUGAAUAAACACGUUAAAUUAUUAAUAAUUAAUUAGCUAAUUAAUUAUAAAUAAUAAAUUAAUUAAUUAGUUUAUUAUUUAAGUAAUUGAUAAUGACUUAAAUAUACUAAUUAGAUUAAUUAAUAAUUUAAUACCAUAAUUAAAAUUAAAUUUAGAUUUUAAUUAAUAUUUUUCUUACUUGAGAACAAACUUAUUCUAGAAAAAAGAGUGGAAUAUAUAGCAGCUCCAGACCUAUUCCGGAUUAUACCAGCUUAUUCUAAAAAUUCGAGAACUAUCGUUCUCGGAUACCAAACACAAUAUUUUUGUAGGAGUUUUAGUUCAGAUAGAUUCAAAUGGCACGAGGUGGAAUUUGGCUUGACUGAACUGCAAAGUCGAUCGUUGUGAUUGAAGGGUAUAGCAUUUCUUUAUCAGUAUUAUAGUUGAUAUAUCAUAAUUGAUAUAUUGCUUUCCUUUUCUAUUAUAGAGAUAUGAUAGCAAUAGUUAUUAUUUAGUUCAGUUACUCCAUAUCGUUAUGUAAUUAUUCUUUAAUUUUAUCUCUAAUAGAUCUAGUGGGUGGAAUAUUGUUAUCAUCAAUCGUAACUACUGAGAAUUAGAAAUUCUCAUGCUCUCUUAUGAUUUACUGUUCAAAGUCCUCUUUUGUUUGACUGAGAUAAGAAGAUCGCGCAAUAGAUAGCGUCUCCUACCCGCGGGUGCGAUGAUAGAGGAGGACUACCGGCUAGCUUAUUAUUUUGGCAUGAUACUACACAUCGAGAGUGGCGAGGUCAGAGCUCUUUAUUUGUAUUUAUAUUUAUAUUUUAAGAGAUUGUGGUUGUAUAGACGUAAGUACAGUGAUAGUUUGAUUGUAUUUAGUUUUAUAUUUUACUAUGAUACUUAUUAGUUGUGGACUCCCGAAAUUUAUUUAGUUGUCGACUCCUAGAAUUGUUGUUUCCUGAUAGGUUUUUAUUUCGAACGCUUCGUGUGUGCUGAGUGCGUCCUUGCACAUGCGACAAAUUUGUUCGUGUACCUGGGAGUUUUUGUUGUGGACCGGGGCUGUGACAAGUGUUAGAAAUUUUGUUAAAAAAAAAUGUUCUAAUUUAAAAAAUUAUGACUAAUUAAACUUAUUGUAGUAACUUUUGGUGUAACUAGCUAACCUCACUUUUAUAAACAUCUAAAUAUUUCUUUUCCGAACAAUGCUAUCCUGAGUUUAGUUUAUCUCCUGUAUUUUUAGUUCCUAUAGAUGCUUUGUAUUCUUAUGCUAUGCACGUACAGAAAAAAUUUUGUCUAUGUAGUAAGUCUGUGCGCGAGCCCAGUCAACUUCUGUGUCGGGGCGUAACAAAUAAAGAAUAAUUUAUGCUUAAUUUUCUUGCCUCUCACUUAGGAAUGUUAACGAGUCAGUUUUAGAGUGAUAUUUACAAAACCCAAAACUGAAUCGAACAAAAAAUUAAAAUUUGAAUUCGUAUCCCAACCCAACCGUUUCGAAAAGUUUAAAAUUGAAACCACCCUGCUAUUAAAAAAAAAACAAAACCAAAAACCCUUACCCGGAACUGAAAAACUAAACUCAACUGGCCAACUAUAUAUCUAGUAACGUACGUAUAAAAUUAAUCAUUAAUAUAUAUAUAUAUUACUUAUUAAGAGUUGAGCUGAAAUGCUAUCGGUAGCAAACGAGCUUCAUUACCACCCAUUUAUUUUCGAUGAUGAAGCCUCCAAAUCAACGAUUGGUACCGUUGAAUAUGAUCUAUACCACUUAAAGCAUCUAGAAAUUAAAUUUCAUACUUUUCCGAUAUUGUUCUCGUGUCCAUCAAGUAGACACAAAAAUAAAUGGCUGAAAAUGAAUAUUCUCUAAAAAGUGAUGAUAGAAGUAUUGUAUUUAAGAUCGAGAGUAUUAACCUUAUUCUAAAUAGUUUAAAAAAUUUUCUAACCAAAAUUCAAUUUAUUUGAAUAUAUAUAUCUCUGCACCGUUAAACUAAAAAACGCCUCAUAUCGACCAUUAAAAUUACAAAUUUUAAAAACCUUUGAAUAUUGGGUCAAUGAUGUCGAAAAGAUUUAAAAUUUGAUUUCUAGAUUAUAUUCUAGAAAUCCUUAAAGUGGUAUAGAUUAUAUUCAAUUAUGCCGAUUGUCGAUUUAGAGGCACUAUCAUCGAAAACAAAUAGAUGACAACAGAGUCCGUUUGCUGCUAAUAGUAGUCCAGCUCAACUCGAAUUAUUAAAAUAAAUAUCUAAAAAAUACAUUUUACAUAGCAGGAUUUUAUACAAUUUUACUUUCCUAUUCGGUUUCAGGGUCGGAUUUGGUUCGGAUCCAAACAGAAACCAAAGAUCCGUAACUAUGACCAUAAUCAUUGGAUUUUAAAAUUUUAUUCUCACAAAUAAAAAUCUCGAUUAAAAGGGCUUUUUUUGCAAAUAGCCCCCUGAGCAAUUUUUAUUUUAAAAAUAGCCCUAUGAAAAUUAAAAUUGCAAAAAUGGCCCUAUCCCUGCCACGCAGGCGCCACGUCAGCACCACGCGGGCAGGGCUGGGGCCAGGGUAUUAAGUUGAACACGGUGAAUCAUUCACCGUGUCUAAACACGGUGAAUGGUUCACCGUGUUUAGUACACGUAUAUUGAAAAGUGGAAUAAGGAGUAGGGAUGUCAAUAGGUAUGGAUACCCGAAAUAUUAUCCGAAUCCAAACCCGAAUAAAUUAUAUAUAUAUAUACGUAAUUUAUUUUUGUUUAUUUAUACAAUAUAUAAAAUAUUUAAUAAUUUUUAUUUUUUAGAUUUAUCCAACGGGCACGCUAGGUUGGAUGAAGAUGUAAGGAAUAAAAAUUAUUAAAUAUUUUAUAUAUUGUAUAAAUAAGCAAAAAUAAAUUACGUAUAUAUAUAAUUUAUUCGGGUUUGGAUUCGGAUAAUAUUUCGUAUAUCCAUACCUAUUGACAUCCCUACUCCUUAUUCCACUUUUCAAUAUACGUAUAAAAAAAUACGUACUAAACACGGUGAACCAUUCACCGUGUUUGAACACGGUGAAUGGUUCACCGUGUUCAACUUAACACACGGGCCCAGCCCUGCCCGCGUGGCGCUGACGUGGCGCCUGCGUGGCAGGCCCAGGGCCAUUUUUGCAAAUUAAAUUUUGAUAGGGCUAUUUUUAAAAUAAAAAUUUGUCAGGGAUCUAAAUGCAAAAAAAGCCCCGAUUAAAACGGUCUCAGUCGGAAACGAAUUCGGAUAAAAUAUGGAAUAUCCGUACACAUCGACGUUCCUGCUGUCUCUGUCCACUCCGUUGUUGUCUCAGCAUUAGAUUCUCGCACGAAAAAAGAGACAAAAAUUCUACGGAGAGAUUUGCUUACACGACAUGCAAUCUCAAGAAUCGCUUAGUUUACGUAAUUAAGCCCUAAAAAAAUUAAUUUCUUUAUUAAUAGAUUAUAUAACUUCUGUGAUGUCGAAACAGAUAGCGUUUACAUUGUAUUCAUAUUUCCUUUUCUUUCAAAGAGAGAAAUAACACCAUUUGUAUUAGGAUGUAAAUCUUAAAGACAAUCUACAAUUUUUAUUUUUCAAAAUUUUUAAUAUUAAAAUAAAAAAAUUAAUAAGGUGUUGGGAGUCGAAGUUCUGGAUCGUUGAUUCGGUCAAUAGUCCGCUUUAGAAAGCGAGCAGAGAAAUGGAGCAGCUUCUGAAAGUGACCCUUGAGAAUGCACUCAAGUCUAAAUUAAGUGAUCGACUGAUGAGGGAUCUGCUCAGCCAAGUUCAAGCACUUCACUAUAUAUUCGGUUAAGAUUAGCCGAGUGAUUUCAAUGUAUAUUUCAAAAGUGACAGAAGUUUACAUGACGAUGGGUCUCACUGCUACCGUUGAUUACAAGAAAAUCUAUUUUAAAAACUACUCCUAAAAAAGCAAAGAAUGCAAGAAAAUUAAAGACUACAAAUAGACUACUUCUAGAAGAGCAGAAAAAAUACUGUAAAAUAUAAUAGUUUUCUUGUUCGUAGAAAAAAAAGACCACUCUGACAAGCAUAUUCUGUUUAUUUAUAGUCCCGAACUUGUCAUUAUUCGGUUAUUCUCCAUUACGGGGUAUGUCUCGGCUAUAUCCUUAUUUAUGCGGGCCACUUCUAGCCGAUCUCAACCGUGUUUUCGCCUAACAAAUUUUCAGUUUUGGGCGUGUUCUUCCCAGAUCCUAGCGCACCGUAUGGCGCUCCAUGUUUGGCUUUGGGAGCCCUUCACGUAAUGUGGACCAACUUAUCAUGUUGCGUCAUUUUUAUAGUGCCAACAUAUAUAAGAUUGAUAAAAGAAUAUAAGUCAUUAGAUAAAUAAGAUAUAAAAAUUUGCACCCUGGUUAUGGAUGUAUAAAUGUAGCAUUGCCCAUACAAGAAUAACUUGCUUCUUAUUCCUCAUGUCCCAUCACAUUAUCAAGAGAAAAGGCACUUAUGCCUUUCAAAAGCAGGAGCAUUAGAUGCUCAAUCUUUAUCAAUCUAAUCUCAAUUUAAAAUUGAUGAGCGAUUACUACAAAAUACAUCAAUAAUCAAUCGGGCUCGAUCGAUUUAGUGUAGCAGGAAGCUGAAAUGAGCAUAAGGGCCUCCGAAAUAUAUAGAAGCUCAAAUUUGAAACUUCAAUUUUUAUACACUGUAGCAGUUUGGAACAACUUUAUUUGUUCAAAAGUAGUAGUUAAGUGUUCUGAGAUAUGGAAAGUAUGAAAAAUUUAUUACGGCGGGAACAAAACAGUACAAAAUGCUAAGAAAAGAAAGAAACUUUAGCAAAAAUCGAUUAGUAUAUUAUCGAAAAGUUCCAAGCAAUAGUAAUUCUAUGCAAUAUUAAUUUAGUACCUGAAUCGAACAAGCUAGUUGGACCGGUUCAGAUCGUGACCCAAUACCCAAAUCGGUUUGGUUCAACCCACGAAAUCGGUUGGACCGGCUCAAAACCGUUUUUUCAUUAGUGAACCGAUUUAAUGGCUCGAUUUUAUAAGAUUCGACCAUAUUUCUCUUUUUUAUAUUAUUAUUAAUUAAUUAAAAAUAUGCAUAUUUUUUUAUAAUCUGCAGUUUGAAUAUAUUUUUAAUUAUAUAUACUAUAUAAUAAUGUUAAAAAUAAUGUAAAAUACUAUACUUAGAUAACUUUUUUAUUAUAUACAGUAUAUAAAAACAUAAUAAUUAAAUAUUUACGAUAUUAUGCUAACUAGGGAGUCAUUGUGUACAUAUACACGUGAUUUUACUCUACUCCGAAUCUCACAGGGUGGGUUUAAUCGAUAAUAAACAUGUAUGAUUUCGAUUAUGAAUAAAAAAACGCGGAACUCGGGUUCAAUUAUGAUUUUUCUCUAUAUAUCUGAAUAAAAUCCGAGCCCAAACCGAACCGUUUUAAAUAUUUAUUUUAAUAUCAGUAUAAUCCAAUAAUAUUUUCGGAUCAUCAAUUAUAUUGAGUUUUAAAACAUUGGUUCUGCAAAGACUCUAACUCAAAUAAAUUUUUAGCGAAAAAAAGGUGCUAGUAUUUUUUGGUUCGUCGCAUUCAAACAACACCACUAUGCCUAUUAAAUAGGGGUGCAAUUCAUGCUCGCUGUUGCGCUUCGAGCGCAGCUCCAGUGUUUGGCUCGAAUUGAGCUCUGGAGAUGCGGGCUCGCGGGUCGUGCUUAUAAACGAGCAACUAUUGAACGACUAGCUGAAUAUUUUUAGCUCGUUUAUAUAACGAGGCAAUGCGCGAACACACUAUGGAGCCUUGGGUCAGCUCGCUCCCACUCGUUUCGUCCAUUAACAACUCGAAAUACAUAUAUUUUAAUUUUAUAUAAUCUUAUUGUAAUUUAUAUAUUUUAUAUAUACGCAAUAAAUAAUUUAUAUAAUAUAUAUUUUAGUUACUUUUAAUUCUUAGCAAACAUAAAAAUAUAAAUACGACGCUUAAGUUCUAUAAAAAAAACUUCAUUUAUAUGUAAAGUGUUCAGUAUUACAGCUCAAAAAGUUUAACUGGAUAAGAUUUUAAUAAUUUAUUUUUAUAUUAUACUUUAAGCUAAUUGUUUUUUGAAUUUGAUGUUCGUUCUCAGUCGUCGUCGAGCCACUCUGUGGGUCGCGUCGUUAAUAGCGGAGUCGAAUCUCAAGCUGUUGAUAUUUUCGGCCUCGAUGCUUAUUUGAGCCUAAGCGUUUCGUUGUUUCUUCGUUUAAUAACAGCCCGGUAACAGGCGGGACCGUACUCAGGUGUGGGGCGGGGUCGGUCUGUUUCGUUCGUCUGCGUUUACACCCCUCCUCACCACCUAGAAGAGUAUCUGGGUUUGAUCUAGCUAAACCUAAGUAUAGAUUCAUCAUUGAUAAUAUAACAGAUCAAAAUUAAUGACCGGUCGACAGAAUGAUACAUUCUAACUCUACGCAACGGAGGAUAUUUGACUGUCGAGAAAGAAAAUGUUGAUGAAAAUACUAUUUGUAAGUAGCCCAGCAUUAUCUUAGGUGCUAAAGCUUUUUAGCAUCCUUUAAAUCGUCAGGGAGUUUAAACAACCACAUUUAAGAAAAACUAUAUCUGUUUUAAGUAUACGGAUAGUUAAUAAUAAAAAAAUAAUAAUUAAUGUAAAAACCUUAUUUGUACUUGCUGAAAAAUUUAUAGCUUCUGUUUAUUGAGAACGGUUUUUAAAUAUGUUUUAAUAUUCUAACCACUCCCCGCACGUCUGGACUUGAGGACUUUUAGUCGCUCUAUGACGUUGUAGCUCUGUAAUUAAAAUGAGUAGAAAGAUUAAUAUUUAGUUAGCCUGCACGUGAACUCGAACCUCUAGGGACCUUCCUUCUGCUGCUGAUAUUACCUAUGUAAAAUCCAACUAUUGUACCUAAAAUAAACUUAAGCUGUUAGAUGAUACGAUAUUUAAAUAUUUUAUAUUUUAACAAAUAAAAUAAUAAAAAAAAGAAGAAAUGAGCGAAACAAAUUAGCAUGGAAAUAUCAUGUGUAUCAUUACAACUAUAACAAAAUAAGUAUAGCAGGCGGGGAAUAAGCAUUGUUUAUUAUUGAAAAUAUAAUAUCACACCAUAGUUGACACUUAAUUUCGGAUAGGUAACAAUUGUAUGAAAAAGUAUAAAACGAAUAAAAUUGUAUCUUGAUUUUAAAUUCGUUGAAAACCACACGUUUGAAAAAAUCGCGUCUGUCCAAUAAUUUCGUAUACGCAAUUUAUAUAAGAAAUUUUAUAUUUUAGCCAAUUUAAAAUUCGACUAAAAAUUCGUUUACUAACAUUAGAAUAUUUUUUUUUAAUUUAUGCGUAUUUAUCAUUAAAUAAAAUUAUACAUUCUUAAUGAACAGGCUAAAAUGAAAAAAUAUAAAAAAUAUAUCGAUUAUUAUAUGAUAUCAAAAUACGUAUUUCAAAUUCGGUUUGUCCAAUAGACCGCCAAUUUUUAAAAAUUCCUUUCUUUUUUCUCGUAUGCAAAAUAAAUCUAAUAACGAAACAAACUUUAGUUCCACUUUUUCCUCCAACUAUUUAUACUUUUAUUUUUUAUUAAAAACAUAAAUAUUUAUAAUUAUCUCUAUUCUGUCAACUUAAUAUUUAAUUGUUAUAUCCUAAUUCGAAUAUUCUUUCUUUUUAAGAUAAAGUAUUUUAUUUCUCUAUUCUGUCAAUUAAUAAUGCUUAUUUAUUAUAUCAUUCAAUAUAUUUUCUUUUUAAAAUAAAUAUUUAUAUAUUAUCUCUAUUCUAUCUAUUAAUAUUUUAUUGUUAUAUUAAUUUUUUAAUUUUGAUACUUUUAGUUUAAAAUAUAUAGCGAAAUUAAAAAAUAUAAAAAAAUAUUCAAUGUAUAACUAUAUCUACACUAUAUAUAAAUUUUAUAAAAUAAAACAAAACUAUAUAAUUAUUGUUGGCAACAACCAUUUAAAUUUGAGUUAGAAUAUAUGACAGAUAUUUUUUAAUAUUAUAUAAUAAAUAAAAUGAUUUUUAAAAUUUAAAUUUAUAUUAUAAAUCUUUGAAUAAAUAUGAUCUAUAAUUUUAUAUUAAUUUGAGAUAGUUAUUCAAAUAUUUAUUACGUGCAUUUGCAUGUAUACUCAACUAGUAUAUAUAUACAAACAAACAUAAAUGACAUAUUUGGUUCACUUUUUUUUCACCCUGAAAUCGAAAUCGGAAUCUAAAUGGAUGAAUCCGUUUAUCCAUUUUUGGUUGAAUGGAAAUCCUCUCAAUUACUUUUUUUUAAAAUAUUUUAAAAAGUAAUUCUUUUGGAUUCAAAUUUUAAAUUUUUAGUCAGUUCAAAUUUAAAGGGUUUAGGAUUUGAUAAAAUUUUAAAAAUUUAUUCUAAAUCCGAUGUAGUGACAUCCAAUGUCGCCACGUGGCGAUCAUUGGGUAAAGUGUAGAGCGUACGACACGUCGUUACACGUCAAUGUUGUCGAGGAACGUCUGUGGGCCCCAGCUGCCGGCUGCUUUCUGGUGGGCUCCACUUUCAGCGACCUCCUGAUUUAGAUUUUAUUAUAUAUUAUUUAUUUAUUUUUUAAAAGACACGUACAUAAAUAAGGGUGAAAAUCGAGUUUGCUGUUCGGGAGCCGGCGUGAGUUCGGCUCAAAAUAAGUUCGAAACCGAACAACUCUCGUUUAUAAACGAAUCGAAUACGAACUAAAUUUUUCAGCUUAUUUAAUUAACAAGUCGAAUACGAGUUAGAACCAACUUGUUUAUGUUCGAUUUGAUAACGGCUCGAAUAGUACAGUGCACGAAGUAAAAAUAUUGGCAAAGUACAGUAUCGUCUAGUAUAAUUGAUGCAACAAGAUAAGAAUAGGCUGCAGAUAUUGUACUGUAGAAAAAGAAAAGUGACAAAUAAAAAAAGAUGAAAGAAGUAAGAUAAGGUGCAUUAACUUGACAGAGGCCAAACACCCAUUAAAAAAGAUCACACAUAUUUAAAAUAAAUUUUUAUUAACCAAACUCUUCUUUCCACAACUGAUAUCAAACCCUAACUCUAAUCCUAGUCAGAUCCCGUAAUCGAAAAAAUUUAUCUAAAGCAAAUAAUUUUAAUUUUAAUUUAAAAUUUUCAAAUUCGUAUUCCUAAUUUUCAGCCAAUUAUUCCACAUGAAAUAUAGUAAAUUAUUUUUUAAAAAUUAUAUAAAAUAAAUCAACAAAAAUAAAAAUCACGAAAAUUUUAAAAAGUUCUAACUAAUAACUUUUUUGGAAUAAUUGCCUAUAUAUAUACCCUUCAAAACUUCGAAAAUAUAUAAUUUAUUCCUGCUUCUUUUUGUUUCUAAUAUAUUCCUUGUAUGUUCCUCCGCUAUUCAAAAAUACCUCCAUAGUUACCAUCAAUUAAGUUAUCUCGGGUUAAAUAUAAGUUAAAUGCCUAUCAAAAUUAAAAAAAACUAAAACACAUUUUUUGUCCUUAACGAAGUAUAUUAGGAAAGACCAAAAAUUAAAAUACUUUUUUUCCUUUAACUUAAAGACAAAUAAGAAAAUUUUGUGAUGAUAGAAGAAUAUGUUUGAAAGGGCAAAAUAAUAAUUUUACAGAGAUAAUAGCUAUUUCUAUAUGUUCCUUAACAUAAUUUAAUUUUAAGAGUAUAUUUAAAAUAAUUUAGAACAUAAAAAAUAUAUUUUUAAUAUUAAUGUUUCUUAGAAGGAUAAAUUAAAAAGUCGAAAAUUUUCUGGGUAUAUAAGGAAUUGCCCUUUUAAUACUAACUUUUCUCUUUGGCAUUUUCUAGAAAGCUCUAACUUUAGACGUGCAAAAGCACGUGGGAUGCUGACCAAAAUUGUGAAACUUUACUCUCGAUCUGAUAAAAGAUUUGAGAUUCCACUGCUUUACCUUCUUUAUUAGUUAGGGUUUAGGCCAUGGAGCAUACAAGCACUUGAAUAUGUAAAUGAUCCUCUUUAAUUUGUUUCAUCAGUAAAAUUUUAAUUUACUUUUGGUUACUGUGAUGAAAAUUAUGAUCAGUUAAUUAAUAAAUAUGUUGAAUUUGCAGAUUUUAUUCAAGCUUAUAGUGGCUAUAUCAGUUCACACAAUAGCGGCGGAUGCAUAUAUAUAUCUGAGUGGGCUCUAAGUUUAUUGACCCGACUAAGGAUGAUGCAAAAUAUCUUAUUUUAUAGGCCUACUUGAGAAAAACUUUUUAGUUGGACAUUUUUCUGUAUAAAUUGACUCCACUGGGGUCCAAGUUGAUACAGGUGGGAUCCAAUAAAAUUUUCGUAUUAGAUAAGAAUGCUAUAGCGGGUCUGAUGACCUGCUAACUUUUUUUCUUAGCAGUAGCAAAAAAAUUUAAAAAAAUUAAUAAAAAAAUUCUAGGCAGAAAGAAUACUAAUAAUUAGUUCAUUUUUUUAUACAAUACUAAUAACUAAUUCAUUUUAUAUAUAUAUAUUUUUUUUUUCUCCCUUAUAUAUUGACCCCAUAAGAGAAAAUUUUUAGAUCUGUCACUGAGCUCACAAUUUGCUAAUUUUGAUAGGAUUUGUAGUUCUAUUUGUUAAAAGCACAGGAGCAUUUGUACUUUUGACUUUUCAAUCAUCUGAUUGACUCAAGAUCUAUAUAGAAUAAUUGCAAAUAAACUCUCCCCAAUAAUUCCGCUCUUGGUUAUAAGCCCUAGCGCUAUGCACCAAUCUGGUGUCUAAGUUUCGAAACGUAGUCUUGGCAUUCUGAAACCUCAAUAGGUUCCGGAACCUCAAUAGAGGUUUCACAGAAUCCAAACAUCCCGCCCUCUCAGCCCAUAGUUCAUGUUCCGGAACCUCAGUGUUAGGUUUCAGAACCUGACACAAAUUUGAAUUCCUUCUCUUUGUCGGGUUCAAAUUUUUGGAUAUUAUGCGAGGUCGAUCGUCUAUUCAAAAAUUUCUUCCUCGAAAACAACUUAGAAGCACCAGAAGCUCCACAGCUCAAAUCUCUCACUAUAUAUGUAUGUAUGUCAAUAUAAGGUCACAAAUUAUAUAGGUAAGAACAAUAAUCUCGUCAUUUCUAACCUUCAGGUAAAUAGCAAUCGCCAGAUUGCGAAUUGCAAAAUUAGGAAUGACGAGUUCUAACAUACUAUAAUUAGUGUUAACAAUACUAGUCUUAUGUCGGAUAAAAAUGAAAUCUUUGAUUUGUAAAUAAUGUGAAGGGUGUUAUCUUCACUUAAUGAAAUCUUUGAUUUGAUUAUAACGACCGUCCCUAGCGCAACUAGCAAAAAGCUUGAUGGUAUAUAUCCAAGGCCCAAGUUCGAAUCUUAGUUGAUUCAAAUUUUCAGCUAAAUUUAUUUUUAAAUAAAAUAAAUGAAACGGAUAGUAUGCUAUCUUAAAAAAAAAAAAAGAAAAAAAGAAAAAAAGAAAAAGGCUUAGCUUUUGACUGGGUCUGAGCUCUUUAAUAAGGCAUUUGAACUUGAUUCACAAGCGCUAGUUUAUGGUCAUCCCAAUGGCCGCGCUCAUGCUAAUCGCGCGUACGUGAAGUUGUUGUAUCACACACUAACUGCACCUAACUUUGUGCAUAAGUUUGUGCCACGUGCUACUAGCACUACAACAGAAUUAGAUUAUAGGAACAUAUUUUUGGUAUACUUUUAUAUAAGUGUUUCAUUUAUACCAAAAUUUUUUAAAAAAAUCUAUUAAGGCCUAAGUAUAAAUUCAAUCCAAUCAAAAGUAAAAAGUUCAUCUACUCAACCAACCACACCCAGCCUACUCUGCCCGAUUACAAAUAAAAAAGGAAAAAAAAAAUGAAAAAAUGAUCACCAUCUCGCAUUCUCCUCUUUCGCCACCAUAGCCAACGAGGUAGGAUUUCGACAGCCGGAGUUUGGCCACGAGGAUCUCGCAGGGACCGCAGAGGGCUACAAUCGUCACAUAUCCCUCCGCCACAAGUCGCUAGAGGAGUGAAUUCCAAAUAUCAAGGCGGCCCUAUCUAUAGCGACCCUACAUAUAGCAACACUUUUAAAAAGUGUCGGUAAUUUAGUCAACAGUACUUUUUUUGAUCUGUACCGAUAUUUAAAAGUGUCGUUAUACACCAUUUUUGUUGUAGUGUAGCAUCUAUAGUAGUAGCACUUAGGGUUAGUGGGGUGUUGAGACUAAUUAAUAAAUACAAAAUGAAAUAUUGAACUGCAUAUAAUAAGAUGUGUAUGAGAUUCCGGAAUUUAAAAUAGUCCUAUAUAUAAAGUAUAAUAGGACUAAAGCUUUGUAUCCUGUUAUAGCACUUUGGAUGCUGGUUAGACCCAAGAGGUUAAAAGAGUUAAACAUGUUAGGGUUAGAGUAGUCCUAGGAUGGGUGAUCUUUUGGAAAGUGGGGUGCACAGUUAGUAAUAGAACUAAUUACCAGCCGAAAAUGUGAGAUAAGUUUUGGCUGAGUCAGAGUUAUACAACAAGUAGAGUGAGACUUUUUGGCUGAUGACUCUACGAGUCUCACAUCGCCUGAUACUUAUGAAUAUAUCUGAAUAUGGUAAGGACAUCAGGGUUUAUAGAAAGGGGUAGAAUGUGGGACCCCAGGAUUUGAAAUAGUUUUAUAUAAAAAGAAUAAUAAAAUUAAAACCUUUAACUCCGCUUUAAUAUUUUGGGUGGUGAUUAGCCCCAAGAAAUUAAAAGAGUUAAGCUUGUUAGGACUAAAAUGGAGCAUCACCACAAGUAUAUCCAUCUAAUAGCUUAAGGUAGCAUUUGGUUUUGGAACGGGGGGAGGGGGGAAUAAGCCCUUGUUCCCCGUUUUGUUCCCAAACGGUAUUUUUAGUACCUAAGAACAGCAAUUCUUCCACCUUUGAAAUAAGUUAGUAUAAAUUGAUAUAACCUUGAAACACUUGUUCCACCCUCCCUCUGGAACAAACUUGUUUCCAAGUAGAAACAAGAUUAAGUAAAAUCUAAUCUAAUUUUAAUUACGGUAUUAAAAAUUAUUAAUUAAUCUAAUUGAUGUAUUUAAGGCAUUGCGUAUUGCUUAAAUAGUAAAGUAAUUAAUUAAUUUAUUAUUUAUCAUUAAUUAAGUCAUUAAAAAUUAAUAUAUUAAUCAGCUUAUUCAAUAACCAAUAUUUAUAACCAUUAAUAUUUUGACUAAUCUAUUUAAUUUUUAACUAAUUAUCUAAAUAAAAUAAUUUACUAACUAAUUAAAAAGUUAAGUUAUUUAUAUAAUUAACUAAUAUUUAUAUUUAUUAAAUUAUUAAUUUAUUAUAAUAUUCAUAGCUAAUAAAUUUAUUAAUUUAUUGAAUUAUUUUUAAUUAAUAUUCUGAUGUUAAUUAAUUAGAUAAACUAAUUUUAAUUUAAAUUUAUAACUCGUAUUCCUCAUGUUCCAAUCUAACUAUCCAAACGACCUUUAUCUUAUUCACAGGGACAAAUUCAAUUUUCAUUCAAACGCAAAAUUGGUCUAGUUCCUCUUAAUACCUCAACUUGUAUAUAUAUCUGAAAUAAGCUAUUCUUACUUAUAUCCGAACCAAAUGCAGCCUAAAUUCUGAAACAAGCAGUUCUUAUUUAUAUCCGAACUAAAUGCAGCCUAAAUUCUGAAAUAAGCAGUUCUUAUUUAUAUCCUAACCAAAUACAGCCUAAAUUUUCCGGCGGGUCAGAAUCCUUGAACAAAACAGGAGUUUGCUAGUUUUCCCAAGCAAUUGCUCAAGUAUAAGCAGCCAAGAAGUUGAGCUCAGCAAGUAGCAGUUAACACAUAAGCUAGCACACAUUCCAUGUCUGGUUGCUUGCUGGGAUUUGGCUUCAUGUUAAUAGAAAAGGAGACACCCAAUGCCCAAUGGGAAAAGGUUGAUCCACAUGACAAUGCAAUAAUAGGAGUGCUUUUGACACAAAAGACAUGUAAAAAAAGCUAAAAGAAGUAAAGGAAAAUACAAACUUUAUGCUAAACUAAAGUGAUUGACUUAGUCCCAGUAAAAGGGAAAGAAAAAAAAGGUGAAGAAGCUUUAAUUUAAUGUUCAUCAAAAUUACUUCUACAAAAAAUAUAGAAAAAAAAUAAAUAACCUAGGAAUUUUAUUUUUUUUUUUGAUUAAACUGGGGUAUACCCUGUUUGAGGAAUUACACUGGUUAAAAAAAAAAAAAAUCCAUAUGACAGUUAAUUAUUUUAGUUAUGCAAGUUCCCCUUUUUUUUUUUCCUUUUUGCAAAGUCACUUAAAUGGUUUUAGUACAUAGAAAUUACUUACCUAUCAAUAUACUUCAUAAAAGUCCUUAAAGAUGUGCUUAAAUAAUUAACUACUCUCCAAAAAGAGAUUUACUACUACUAUUCACAACUACCAUCCAAAAGAGCAAUUAAUGGCCAAGGAAUGUAUUGUGCAGAGAUAUUUGUCAUCAAUAUUAAUUAAUAAGUAUUUUCUAACAUUUGAGUGGCAUAUAUAUUUGACAUCAUACUUAGUAAAUAUAAAUAAACACGAUAAAUGGACCUGCUGAAUAUUUUGUUACUUUUCUUAGUUUUUAUAUCACCACUUAAAUAAGCGGGAUAAUUUUAGAAAAAAAAUAUGACCUAAAAUUCAUCAGUAAGAAACUUUCAUUUUUUUAUGAUAAUUCAUCGAUCUGUUAAAAAAGCUUAUUUAUUCCUAUAAGAAUAAGUCAGAAUGUGUUCUAAAAUAUUUUUUUUUGAGAAAGAGGUAGCAGGCUACCUGCUUCAUUCAUUAAGUAAAAUGAACUAGGCAUACAUGGUGAAAGCAGCUAAGGCUUCCGAAAAGAAAAAUGGCAACAAAAGAAAAAAGGUAAAGUUAUAGUAAGAAGUAAAGAAAAGUCAAAAGUAAAAGUAAAAGUAAAAGAGAAAGUAGAACAGCUGAGUCAGGCUCUGGCAGAAAGCUCGCUCCAUACUGAAAUCAAACAUUGGACGCUAUCCAGUGAAAGAGAAGGGACCAGGGGUAUCUCGCGAAAGAGGAAGUUGUUCCUCACGGUCCAGAUCACCUACCAGACGGCCGCCAGGUGGGUUAGGCAUUAGGAUCUUGUACCAGCAUCGUUAAAACUAGAAGCCCUUAUCCAUAGAUCUCGGAUGUCCUCCAUGGGCUGUGUGAGAAAGAACGGUCCAUCCACAGUGAGGAGGAGGUAUCAAACAAAAACACAUUGACUAAAAAGGUGGUCGCAUGUUUCUAUGUCGAAAGCGCAAAAGACGCAGUGAUGAACCGCUAAAAUGCCGCGUCUUGUGCAGGCGGUCGGCAGUUAGGAGUCUCUUACGGAGUAGUAACCAGAUGAAUACUUUAAAUUUAAGAGGGAUUUUCAACCGCCAAAGAAGGUGGCUCGUAGGGUCUCGUAUUCCAGUGUCAGAAAGAAACAGGUAGAGGGAUUUUGUGGUAUAUUGUUGGUUGGAAGUCCCACGCCAGUAAACCAAGUCCGAGCUGGAGUUUGGACAGAGGGGCUGAAGCAGGUCCUUAAGCUGCAAGAGUUGGCGACGGGUCUGUGUGGUGUGAGCCGUUGCUGUUCUGCGACAGAUAAAGCGCCAUCUCCAUCCACUUGCAUUCCAGCACUUUGCCACUGUAACGUCUUUAUUCCGCAUCAAGGCAUGGAUCUCCGGAAACUGUGUACUCAGAGGAGUAUCUCCAAUCCAGAUGUCGUGCCACAACCUGAUCUGUUUGCCUUCGCCAAGCUUGUAGGUUGCACCGCAUUUGAAGACGUCUCGGCAGCAUGGCACACUUCUCCACCAUUGCGAGUGAGGCACAAAUGUUCGUCCCUCGUGUACACCAAUAUGUUCCAAGGCAAGUUAGGAUCAUUGAAGAAUCUCCACCACCAUUUUGUUAGGAGUGUUAUAUUCAUUGAUACCAAAUCCAAUAUUCCUAGCCCUCCAUCUUUCUUGCUUCUACAUACCGAUUUCCAGCUUACCAAGCAAGCUCCCCCGGUAAUUUUGGUGUCGCCUUUCCAGAAGAAGGCCCUUCGUAAAGCCUCGAUGCGCUGCAAAAUCCACUUAGGUGCUUUAAAAAUUGAGAAGAAGAAGAGUGGUAGGUUAGUGAGGACGGAAUUGACGGGGGUGAGUCUGCCUCCUCGCGAAAGGAGCUUUGCUUUCCAUCCUUCAAUUCUUGAAUUGAUGCGGUUGAUGACCAAGGACCAAUCCUCCUUCCUUAAUUGCUUGUUGUGGAGUGGGAAGCCCAGGUAGCGAAAGGGGAGAUUACCUACUUUACAUCCUAAUAUAAGGGCAAGUCUAGAAGCUUUGCGAGGAUUGUCACCCAAGAAGUAUAGUUCAGACUUGUCUUUAUUGAUCCUCAGUCCAGAGGCCCAUUCGAAUAGUUUCCAAACAAAGCGGAGAUUUCAUAAGAUGCUUUUUCUAGGCUCACAGAAGAAAAUUGUGUCGUCUGCGUCUUGUAGAAUGAUAGUUUUGCAAUCUUCAGAAGGUCCGAUUCCGCGUAGGAGCGAGUUCCUCCUAGCGACUUCAGUUAUUCUAGCGAGACAAUCUGCCACCAGGAGGAAGAGAUAGGGAGACAGGGGGUCCCCUUGUCUAAGGCCCUUUUUCAAUUUUAUCCAUUUUGUUGGUGUCUCGUUCACUAAGAUGGCCACUUUGGCGUUACAAAUACACUUUGCAAUCCAGGUCCACCGUUGGUCGUUAAAGCCAAGCCACGUUAUUAAACUCUUCAAAAACGUUUGCUCUUCAGAAUGUGUUCUAAAAUGCUGAUGAGUUAGCUUUUUACAUAUUAUGUGUGUACACACCUUCCCAUUUGUGUAUCUUUAUAAUUAUGUGCAAAAAUCUCAUGAACAAUAUUAUGGCCAGGUCCUAAGCCAUACAUCGAAUUAUUCUUAUACUUCUUUUGUUAGCUAGAAUGAUGCAUAUAUAUAUAUAUAUAUAUAUAUAUAGAGAGAGAGAGAGAGAGAGAGAGAGAGAGAGUCCGGCUGGGGUACUAUCGAUAGCACCAAGGAUUUGGUGCUAUCGAAUUUUCUACUGUUAGAUUUAACCCUCUGAUUAUUUUUACCCAUUAGAUUAUACUAUUCAACCAACUACUCACUUAACCCUAGGGGGCCCACAUCUAACCAUCCAUUUCUCAAUCUAAGGGCUAAAAAAUCAAUAGCACCAAUAGCUUGGUACUAUUAAUAGUAUUCCAGCCUAGUUAUAUAUAUAUAUAUAUAUUAUAUAUUAUAUAAGAGUAUAGAGAGAGGAAGAGAGAGAGAGAGUAGAGAGAGGUUAGGCUGGUAUACUAUCGUAGCACGAAGCCUCCGUGCUAUCAAGUUGUUUUCUAUGAUGCGGCUUCAAAUCGACAUCGGCUCAUUAGACAUGAUCUACACUAUUAAAAAUAUUUGAAAACUAAAUUUCAUAAUUUUUCGACAUCAUUUGGCUAGUGAUCGAAAGAUUCAAAAUUGACAAUUUUAAUGGUAGAUGUGAUGUAUUUGUAAAUUUAACGGUGUAAAACAACCAAAUCAGAUAAAAUUUUAUAGAAAAUUCUUUUUACUAUUUAAGUAAGAUCAGUCCCUCUAUCUUAAUUCAAGUUUCUAUCAUCAUUUUUUAUAAUUUUUAUUUUCAGCCGUUCAUUUUUAGACUACUCGUUUAAUAGGAAAUGAUACGAAAAAUUAUAAAAUUUAGUUUCCAAAUACUUUCAAUAGUGUAGAUCAUGUCUAAUGGAGCCGAUCGUCGAUUUGAGCCGCAUCAUAGAAAACAACUUGGUAGCACGGAGGCCUUCGUGCUACCGAUGUAUACCAGCCUAGGCUCUCUCUCUCUCUUCUCUUCUCUCUCUUCUCUCUCUCUCUCUCUUCUCUCUAUAUAUUAUAUAUAUAUAUAUAUAUAAAUAUAAAUAUAUAUAUAUAGAGAGAGAGAGAGAGAGAGAGAAAGAGAGAGUUGGGCUAGAAUACUUCCAAAAGCACCAAAGAGGUGGUGCUUUUGAGUUUUUAGCCUUUGGAUGAAGAAAUGUAGGCUUAGGAUGAUGGUGGUAGGUGGUGGUAGGUGGUGAUAGUUGGAAUAGUGUUUGAUCCAAAGGCUAUUAAUAAUCAAGGAGUAGAUCCAAGGGCUAAAAAUUUAGAAGCACCAAGGUGGUGCUUCUAAAAGUAUUCUACCUCAAUUAUAUAUGAGUUGAGCUAGAAUACUUCCAAAAGCACCAAAGAGAUAGUGCUUUUGAGUUUUUAGCCUUUGGAUGAAGAAAUGUAGGAUUGGGAUGAUGGUGGUAGGUGGCGGUAGGUGGUACUAUCAAUAGCACCAAGGAUUAAUUUGGUGCUAUCGAGUUUUCCACCGUUAGAUUUAACUCUUUGAUUAUUUUUGCCUGUUAGAUUAUACUAUUCAACCAACCACUCACUCAAGCCUAAGGGGCUCACAUCAUCCUAAACACCCAUUUCUUAAUCCAAAGGCUAAAAAAUCAAUAGCACCAAACUAUUGGGGCUAUUGAUAGUAUUCCAGCCUAUAGAUAUAUAUAUAUAUAUAUAUAUAGAAUUAGGCUGGAAUACUAUUAAUAGUAAAAUGCUUUUUUUGCUAUCAAGUUUUUAACCCUUGGAUGAAAAAUUGUAAGGUUAGGAUGAUAUUAGUCAGUUAGAGUUGAGUGGUCCCCCUAGGGUUGAGUGGUCCUCACUGGGUUAUAGUAUUUAAUCCAAUGGUUAGAAAUGAUGAAAAGAGUUGAUCCAAUGGCUAAAAAACUGGUAGCAAUAAUGGAAUUUUACUACUAAUAGUAGCCCAGUCAAUUAUUAGUUAUAUAUUAAGUUAAUAUAUUGUAUAAUAUUAUAUAUAUAUAGAGAGAGGAGAGAUGAGAGAGAAGUACUGUUUUUGUUACUGUUUGCGUUGAGAGAGGUACCGUUAGGGCGCGGAAUACUAUGCAAUAGCACUGAUGUUUUGCUGUUGUUCCUGUAGUGUUUUUUAGCCCUUUGCAUGAUGAGAAAUGUGGUUUACGAUUAGGAAUGAUGUGGGCCCUUAGGGAAAAUUAAGAAGUGUUGGUUGUAUUUGAUUUGGAUAGUAAAAUCUAACGGUUAAAAAUAUAUCACAAAAUAGUUAAAUUUUUAACGGUUGUGGAUAAACUGAAAUAGCCCUAAGUUCUUGAUGCGUUAUCAAUAUAUAAUUAUAUGUAGUUAUAUUAUAUAUUAUUUUUAUUAUAUGCGUAUUGGUAUUAUGAUGUAUAGAUAUAGUGUUUAGUAAAUAUACAUUAUUAUUAUAUGUAUAUAUACAUAGAUCGUUAUAUUAAUAAUUUAUAUAGUGUAUAAUGUAUAUAUAUUAUGUAUGUUUAGUUCACUUAUUUAGUAGAUGUAUGUUUUAUACAUAAUAUUAUUAGUAUAUAUUAUUAUAUGUAUAGUAUAUAUAUUAUAUAUAUAUAGUAUUUUCUUUCUUUAUAUAUUUAUAUGUAUGUCAUCAUAAGUAUAUGAUAUAGUAUAUUAGUAUAUAUUAUAUUAUAUAUUAUGAUAGUGAUGUUGCUUAUACAUACAGUAUACUUUUUAUAUAUAUACAUUACAUAUAUAUAUAUAUUACUAGCAUAUAUUAUAUAAUAGCAUAUAAUAUAUAUGCUAUACUAGUUAUCUAGUUUAUAUGUAUUUAUAUUAUGUUUUCGCAUUAUUUACGUGCUAAUGUACUCUUUUUUAUGUAAAAUACUAUAUAUGAUUCUUUAUGUUUUUUGUACACUGUAUAUGUUAUGUAUGAUAUUUAUGUCUAUUUAUUUUUCAUUUAUAUUAUACGUAUAUAUAUUUUUUAUAUGUAUGUAUAUGUAGAUGUAUAUUAUGUAUAUAUAUAUUAUAGCUAUAGUUUGUAUAUGUAAUUUGUGAUUUCUUUUAGUAUAUAUAUUAUGUAUAUAGUGUUUUUGUUUAGUUAUAUUGUAUAUAUAUUAAUUUAUAGUUAUAAUACAUUAUUAUAUAUACUAUAUAGAGCUAGCGCUGGCUCUUACUAUCGUAGCACGGAUGGCCUUCCGUGGACUAACCAAGUUGUUUUCAAUUUUGCGGCUUCUAAAUCGGCGGCAUCGGCUUCAUUAGCACGUGUGAUAUAUAUUAAACAAGUAUCUUGAAGUGUGAUUCAUAAUUUUUCGCAUUACGAUUAUACUAUCAAACAAUAGUCUAAAAUAUGAUUGACGGUUUUGAAAAUGAAAACUGGCAUGAAAAACAAGUAUAUAAAGAAUUCAAAAUUUCAAACUCGGAAGUAUUGGUUCUUGCUAUUGAUGUAAGCUAAGAAUUUUCUAAUUAAUUUUCAUCUAAUUGUAUUUUAUUAUCACGCUAGGAACUAGUAAAAACGCUAUUCAUAGUCUACGUAUUAAAAUUGCUUAAUUGGAACCUGUUUGAUCACUAGUAUAAUGAAUGUGUGAAAAAUUAGAAUAAUUUAGUUUCCAACAUACUUUAUAGCUGGAGGAUCUAUAAGUCUAUUUGGAGACACUGUAUCGUCGAUUUUGUCAGAGCGGACAUCAUUGAAAACACUUGUAGUCGGCGCCUGCGUGGCUAGCGAUAGCGAAUAUACCAGCUUUUGCUGGCUCUAUAUAUAGUACAUAUAUAUAGUAUACAUAUAUAUAUUAGUAUAGAUGAUAUACCUUAUACUUUUAAAAGGCUUAUCAAGUAUUGUACUGUAUAUUUUUUGAACCAUUGGAUUAAUAGAAUUUGUGCGCGUUAUGAUUGAUUAGCGAGGCUCCUAAGGUUAGUGGUGGGUUGAUGAUUAUGUUUAACGGUUGAAAAUAAUCAAGGCUGUAUGAUCUAACGGUAAAAAUUUACAAAUGACCAAGUACUUGUUGUUUCAAGCACCAUAGACGUGAUAUAUAUUAUAUAUAUAUAGUAUAUGAUCUAGAUUAGUUAUUAGAUUUUUUUGUUGGACGGGAUUGCGAGAGGUUAGAGAAUUCGGCUAGAUGAGCAGGAACGUUAGUGCUGGUUAUCUUCUCAAAUGACGCAAGCUAUUUUGGUGUAUUAAUUUUUAGCCCUUGGAUUGACAAAAUAUGCUUGGUUGUAGGGAUGAUGAUAGGCCCUAGCGAUUAACGUGGGUGCAGCUUGGUUGAAUAUUGUAAUAUAACGUGUCUGCGUAAAAGAUAAUCAGAAAUCGGUUCAAUACCUCCUCGACACUAAAAAGUCAUUCUGGUGAUCACACCAAGCCCUUGAUACUGAUCUGACUAGUUAUCACUAGUUUCAGGUUACUUAUAUAUUAGUUGAGUCUAGCUAGAAUACUGGUUGUACAAAAGCACCAGACGUGUAUAGUGCUUUUAUGAAUUUUUAAUGCCUUGUUGGUAUAUGAUGUAGACCGAAUUGAUGUCUUUAUAGGUUGGGAUUGCGAUUUGUGGUAUGCGUAUCAUGGUGUGUGGCUAAAGUUGUGCGAUAGGUUGGAAUGUUGAGUGUUUAUGCCAGUAGUCAUUACUAAUUUAGAGAUGUAGAUCCAAUGAGCUCUAAAAAGACUUUAGAAGCACUCAAGGGGUCGGGUACUUCUAAAUUAUUCUAGCUCAUGUUUAAUAUAUAUUAUACUUAUAGCAUAUUUUUAUUAAAUAUAUAUAUAUAUAUAUAUAUAUAUAAAUAAUUAGGCUGGAAUACUAUUAAUAGUAAAACGCUCUUUUUGCUAUCAAGUUUUUAACUCUUGGAUGAAAAAUUGUAGGAUCGGGAUGAUAUUAGUCGGUUAGGGUUGAGUGGUCCCCACUGGGUUAUAGUAUUUAAUCCAAUGGUUAAAAAUAAUGAAAAGAAUUAAUCGAAAGGCUAAAAAACUGGUAGCAACAAUGGAAUUUUGCUACUAAUAGUAGCCCAGUCCAACUAUAUAUAUAUAUAUAUAGUUGAGCUGGAAUGCUAUACGUAGCAAACAGGCUCCUUUCGCACCCAUUUAUUUUCAAUGAUGAAGCUUCCAAAUCGACGAUCGGCACCGUUAAAUAUGAUCUGUACCACUUGAAGUAUCUAGAGACCAAAUUUUAAAUCUUUUCGACAUCAUUGACCUAAUGAUCAAAGGGUUUCAAAAUUUAUAAUUUCAAUAGUCGAUAUGAGACGUUUUCUCGUUUAACAGUGUAAAGAUAUCUAAAUCAAUUGAAAUUUUGUUAGAAAAUUCUUUAAGCUAUUUAGAACAAGAUCUAUACUCUUGAUCUUGAUUGCAUGAUUCCUAUUAUCACUUUUAAAAGAUAUUCUGUUGAUUUUUGUGCCCACUUGAUGGACAACAGAAUAAUACCGAAAACACAUGAAAUUUGGUUUCUAGAUACUUCAAGUGGUAUAGAUCAUGUUCAAUGGUGCUGAUUGUCGAUUUGGAAGCUUCAUCAUUGAAAACAAAUGGAUGGCAACGAAACCCGUUUGCUAUCGAUAGCAUUCCAGCUCAACUUUGUAUAUAUAUAAAAUCAUUGAUAUAUUAAAAUAUAUGAUGUUAAGAAUUCUAAUUAAAUCUGAUAUGUAGAUCAAGAUAUUAUACAUUAAAAACUUUGCCAACGCAAUAAACUUUGUUUGGAUCUCAAAGCAUUAAUUUUCUUACUGUUAAAAACAAAGAAAAAAAUUGGAAUUAGAAGAACGACUAACUGUACUAAAAUUUUUCAAAAUUUCCUGCUGAAUCAAAUCAAAAACUCAACAUUCAAGCUUCUUGUUUUUAAUUUCAUUUCACAUAUAAAGGCCCAUAAUUAAAUUAGUAAUUAAAUAUCAUUUGAGCAACUUGUAGAAUGCAGCGGAAGUAUUCGUUCGUAUCCUUUGCAAAAGCGACUUGCAUUAGAACACGACGAGCCCGAAUCGUAGAGGUUGAUUCACGUGUUCUCGAAUCGUCCACAAAGGUUUUCUGUCGCUCUAAACUCGCGGUAGAUCGAACUACAAAUGAGCACAAUCUCCCAUUUACCGUUCAAGACCCUCUAGAAUAAUAAGUUAAUAGAGGAUGUGGUUUCUAUCUUUCUCUAUUGGUUUUCUUGUUGUCUUUCAUAUGAGAUAUUGCCCGUAUAUUUAUAAGGGAUUUCAAAAUCCUAAUAAAGUUCGUAAGAGAUGAGGUCAAAUCGGAUUAUAAUUGUUAUCCUAAUAUAACUAGAAUUUAUCUCUAAAUAGCUUUUUAAUUUAAUAGGGAUAUUAAUUCUAGUCUAAUUAGACAACAUAAUUACCGUCAGAUCGAGUCCGAUCAUGGGUGCACCGAUUCGAUUUAACCGAAUGACAACACAACUCAUCUAGGAAUUUCCCCAAGAGAGAGCAUUUCUUUGAUCCGAUUACACUGCCACAACCUUUCCUGUCCCACUUUGUGAUAAAGCAAAAGCAAAAUAAAAAGGAAGAGCAAAGAGGAAAGUGGGGGAAAAAAUAUAUAUAUAUUUCUUUAGGAAAAGAGGAGUAGAAAGAAAGGUUUACAAAGCAAUACUAACUAUACCCAUCCCUUUAAUUUGAGACCUCAAAAAGCUUCAUCACCAAGGAAGUGAAGCUAAGCUAAGCAACACAUAUUAUUGAUUCAAGAGGAGAUAGAAAUAAUAAAGAAGAGUUAUCAGUUAUUAGUAGAGUAAUCUUUAAGGCAUAAGGAAUGAAUAGAGCCAUGUUUGAGAGCUCUCUUGUGCAGCAAAUGAUGGUAGGGGGGAACCCUAGUUGGUGGAACAACAUGGAUAACAUAAAGCCACCACAUCAAGAGAUCUCUCCACUUCUGCCUUGCUCAACCUCUUCGGCGGGGGCGGUCGCAUCGUCGACAUCGUCAUCGUCGUCGUCGUCAUCUUCAUCUUCUUCUUCUUUGAACUCUUUCCCUAUGUAUCCUCAGUACACUCAGUCAUCUAGGUUUCUUCCCUUCACCUCUUGGCAGGAUAAUCAAGGUCUACCAGACCCAUGGAACCAGAUGCUGCUGUAAUAUAUGAUCUCUCUCUCUCUCUCUCUCUCUCUCUCUCUCUCUCUCUCUCUCUCUCUCUCUCUAUCAAAAUCAAGGAGGAUUUUGAUGUGGAACUAACAACUCACUGUAUUGAGUUCUUUUCAUUCAACAAACACAGUAUCAUAAAUUGCUUUUUAUAUAUGUUUUCUUACAAAACUCCAAUCAACUAUAUAUAUCUGUUAAACUUUUUGAAAAAAAAAAAAAAUUCGACGUAAUAUAUCUAUUGUUCUUGGCCUCAUGAAACAUCCCACCAUGCAAUUCUCAUGCAUGUCUAUCUUUUUUCCUUGGAGUUUUUUCUUUUUCUUUUUCUUCCAACUAAAAUUAUGAUUAUAAUAAUGGCUACCACUUAGCCUUUACAAGAAGAACAAUAUACAUAUAUACAUGUGUUGGGCAUGUUGCAGGGGAGGAGUGAUGGAAGAAGAGGAGAGAUGCGGCUUUGGUCUGCAAACAAAGAAAGUAGAGAAUUGGGAGGAUCAUCAACUGUAUCCAUCAGGAAACAGCCAUGUAUUUGGUGCAAAGCAAGAGAACUUGGAAAGAUCAGCAUACCUAUGUAAGAAGUAUGAAAAUGAUCAACAAGUUCUCAAAACUACUUCUCCUUGGGCCCAAUCCCUACCAGCUUCUUCUACAAAGUCUUGUGUCACCACAAACAGUUUGAGCACCAACAUGCUGGACUUCUCCCACAGCAAAGAAGGGAAAAGGCACCUUCAAUCAGAACAAUCAUCUGAGGUUAAUUAGCCAUAGCUUUUGUUUGUUCUUGUUUGAUUCCUACAAGUGCAUCAACUUACUUAUUCUUAUUACUUCUCCAUGAAAGCUAUAAAGUUUUCAAUUCAUAGAGGCUUAAAUAUGAAGAUCAUAGAUGUUAAUUAUGAAAUUCUUUAUUUACUGAAUGAUUUCCACAUGUUUUUAAUUUCUUCUGGCAGUCCAACAGCACAGGGACUGGAUCACCUUUCAAGAAGGCCAGAGUUCAAGCAUCAUCAGCCCAAUCUCCCUUGAUCAAGGUUUUAUUCAAUUUGUUAAAUUUUUUUUUUAGUUUUUUAACAUUUAAGAAGAUGCUUUCAUGCCCACAACUUAGAAUGAUAAUUGAUUAAUUAGUAACUGAGAUAAUGACCAUGAAAAAUAAUAAUAAUGAUGAGGGUAUUAAUUAUUAUUAUUCUUUCAGGUGAGGAAAGAGAAGCUGGGAGAUAGAAUAUCAGCUCUUCACCAGCUAGUCUCUCCAUUUGGAAAGGUAUAUAUUGCUGCUGCUCCAUGCAUGCAACAACUGUAGAUCUAAUGCAGUAGUACUAGAAAACUUCAUAAUUAGCUUACAGUUAAUUCUCCCCCACUGUUCUAAUCUUAAUUUGUUUCCUGUGCUUUUUUGACCUCAAUCUUUGUUCCCUACUCUCCCUAAAAGUGUUUCAAUUUAUCCUUAUCUUUAUUUAUGGUUAAAAAACAAAAAUAAUUAUCAGCGAGCAACCGGUGCAUAUCUAUACAUCCAAGCACUAAGUUUUCGAUUCAGAGCCGUACCUACACCAUAUAAAUUUUUUUUUUUUUUUCUCUAACAAAAUGACUAAAUAAAACAAAUCUAAUAGCUCGGGAUAGGAAAUAAAUGUUAAACUCAUAGUUGAGCUCCAAUGAACUUUUAAAAGCACAGGAGCAUCUGUGCUGGUGGAAUUUUACCUGUUGAAUCGUCUUAACGUGACCUACCGUUAAUAGUGUUGGACGAAUUUUGAGACAAUUCGGCAGCUAAAAACUCACAAGCUCUUUAAUGUUAAUGUUGGGGGAUCAAAAUAAAUUAUCCGAAUAAAGUUAGUCUGACAAAAGCGCCUUUAAUUUGCAGACUGACACUGCUUCUGUCCUGCUAGAAGCCAUUGGCUACAUCAGAUUCCUCCAGGGUCAAAUUGAGGUCUCUCUCUCUCUUUCUCUCUCUCUCUCUCUCUCUCUCAUACCUGGACUGAAGCAGAUCAUUUUGGGAGUGCUUCAGCGCACGCAGUAAAAGUUGCUGCACUCCCCAAAGUGUUGUUUUUGUGCAUCACAUCUUCUUGUUUUUUAGUUGUCCUUGUGUUGUCAUGUGUUUCAGGGAUUAUAUAUAUAUAUAUAUAUAUAUAUAACCAACUCCUCACUUCCCCAGUACACUCCUUAACCUUUUCUUUUUUCUUUUUUUUUUUUACUUUUUUAAUGUAGGCCCUCAGCUUGCCCUACCUGGAUAGUGGGUCAAGGAACCCCAGGCAUUGUGUAAGUAAACUAUAUAUAUAUAUAUAUAUAUAAACACCAUCCACUUCACUGUUCCUACCAUACAUAGAUAUAUAUGUGUGGCAUCUAUCUCUCUCUCUCUAGUGGUUAAUUGCACCAUUGUUACCUUUACCUACACAAUUGUUCACUUAUUAAAUACUUAAUCUCAUAAUUUUUUAAUUGAAUCUCUUAUGUUUUUCAACUGUUUGAGUCAAGUUAAUUAAUUAAUUUCUUCUAUUGAACAUUUAUUUAUCGGAACGAAAGUUAAUUAUCGCAAGAAACAACACAUUUAUAUCAUGACAAAUUCUUAUCAAAAAUAAAGAAUUUACCAAUGGAAGGGAAGAGACUCGAUUGAAAUAAUUAAUAAAUAAUUAAAAGGUUAGGAACCAAUGAAAAAGUACUGAAAAAAGAAAAGGUUAGGGACCAAUGGUAUUAUUUAAGUAUUAACCCUUGUUCUAAUGGUUUUUUGGUAUCUUAGAGCAAGAUUUAUUGACUCCUAAAUUUGGUAUCUUAGCAGCAAGUUAUAUAUAUUAUAUAUAUAUAUAGAGAGUAAAGCUACUGUACUCUUAUGAGUAUUGGGUCCUUCGUAUUCAUAAGUUGUUUUCGAUGAUGGGCUUCGAAUCGACGAUCCACUCAUUAAAUAUGAUCUAGAGCAUUUGAAAUUUCUAAAAAAUAAAUUUCGUGAUUUUCGAAAUCAUAAUAAAGUCCAUCAAACUGGCAUAAAAAUGAACGGUCAAAAUCGAACGACGUCCUAAAAAUGGUAUUAUCGGAUCCUUCAAUUUAAGAUCGGAGUUAUUGAUCUUUAUCUAGGUAGUGAAUAGAAUUUUCUAUCAAAAAUUCAACCUAUUCCGAUUCUUUUACACCGUUAAACUAGCAAGUAUCCCAUACCGGCCCGUUAAAAAUUGUUAAUUUUGUGAACUUUGAUCGUAAGGCAAAUGAUGUCGAAAAAUUAUAAAAUUGAUUUCUAGAAGUUUUAAAUGCUCUAGAUAAUGUUUAACGCGUAUGGAUCGUCAAUUCGGAAGCUCUAUCAUCAAAAAAACUUAUGAGUACGAGGGCGAUCGUACUCAUAAUUAAAAGUAUAGUAGCCGGGCUAUAUAUUAUAUAUAGAGUUGGACUGGGUUACUAUUAGUAGCAAAAUUUCAUUUGUUGCUACCAGUUAUUUAGCCUUUGGAUCAACUCUUUUCAUCAUUUCUAACCAUUGGAUUAAAUAGUAUAACCCAGUGGGGACCACUCAACCCUAGGGGACCACUCAACUGUAACUGACUAAUAUCAUCCUAACCCUAUUUAUUUCAUCUAGGGGUUAAAAAACUUGAUAGCGAAAAGAGGUUUUACUAUUAAUAGUAUUCCAGUCUAAUUCUAUAUAUAUAUUAUAUAUUAUUAUAUUAUAUAUAUAUGGAGUCCGAACGUACGGUGCUUGUAAAAGUAUCAAAUAUUUGGUGUUUGUAAAUUUUUUACCGUUUAGAUCUACGCCUUUGAUCAUUUUCAUCCGUUAGAUUAUACUAUUCAACCAACCACCCACUUUAACCCUAGGGGGCCCACAUCAUCUUAACCACACAUUCUUUAAUCCAAGGGCUAAAAACCUACAAGCACCAAUGACUUGGUACUUUUAAAAGCAUAGGAGCCUCAAAUUUUAUUUAUAUAAUAUAUAUAAUAUAUAUAUAUAUAUAUAUGUAUGACUACUAUGCUAUUAGGAGCACAGUAGCCCUUAUGCUCCUAAGUUUUUAACUUUCUAACCAUUCAUCAAUUUUGAUGGGUGAUUAGGGUGAGAGAGAGAAGAGAAAUUGGAAACAAAUUCAAAGAGAAGAGAAAUUGAGAUACCUAAUUUUUCCUCAAUUUCUCUUCUCUCUCACAUCCUAACUACCUAUCAAAGUUGAUAAAUAGUUAGAAGCUUAAGAGCACAAGGGCUACUGUGCUCCUAAUAGCACAGUAGCCCUAUUCUCUCUCUCUCUCUCUCUCUCUCUCUCUCUCUCUCUCUAUAGAGAGAGAGAGAAACUACUGCACUAUCUAUAGUAUCGAAGCUUCAAUACUAUAGUGUCAUUUUGUAUCUUAGGUUGCUCAAAUCAACAAUCCACACCAUUAAAUAUGAUUUAGAAUAAAUAAAGUAUCAAUGACUUGGUGCUCCAAGUUACGCGCGCACACGCGCACACACACACACACAUAUAUAUAUAUAGAGAGAGAGAGAGAGUGUCCGCUAUGGUGCUUUUGAAAACACCAAGUACUUGGUGCUCACAAGUAUUCCAUCAUUAGAUCUAUCAGUUUGACCAAUUUCAUCCUUUAGAUCAUGCUAUUUCAUCAACCACUCACUCAAUCCUAGGGCACUACCAUUAUCCUAACCCUACAAAUCUUAUCCAAAGGCCAAAAAUCCAAAAGCACCAAUGCUUUAAAAAAUAUAAGAGCUCAAUUUUAUAUAAAUGGAACUAGGUUAUUAUAUUAUUAAUAGCACUAAGUCAUUAAUGCUGUUAGGUUUUUGCUAUUGGAUUAAGAUAUAUGUAGCUAGGAUGAUAGUAGUCCCCUAGGCUGCGUUUGGUUACAGGAUAUAAUAGGAAUAAUACAUUUUAUUCCUGCAAUUCUGCCAAACAUAAGUAAAAUUGGAAGAGAUAUUUAAUUCCGGUCAAAGCGGGUUAUUCUUGACAAUUCUAGAAUAACCCGUUAACAACUAUUCCUCUCCAACAGUGGAAUAGCUGCGUCCUUCAAUUUAUACCAAAGGCAGUAAGUGAAAAAGUUGCCUCGUUAUUUGAGCCCACCUACCCUACUCUAUACUCCUUAGCCAAAUGCCUCUUUUAGUUAAAACUUUUUACAAUAUUUUAUAUUAUUGUGUAUACUAUUUUUGAUUAAUUAUAUCUAAGGUAAAAAUAUUUUAUAAUUAAUUAUUAAAAUAUUUUAUAAAUAAUAUGAAUAUUAAAAUAUUAAAUAUAAUUUUCUUUCAGUAAAAUAUUAUAUUGCAUAUAUUAUGUUUUAUUUGAAAUGUUGUUCAUUUUAUUAAAUAUUACAUAUAAAAGAGGCACACACAAGGACAAUAUUGGCAUUUUAGAAAAAUUCAAUCUACUUUUACUAUUAUUCUCUAUUAUUCCUAAGCAAUUUUCCAAACAUAAAUUUUCUUAUUCUUCUGAAAAAGAGAAUUUCAUACCAAAUAUAAAAUUCAUUUUAUUCUUUUGUAUCCUAGAAUACACCCUAAAUCCAAGAAUAAAAAUAUUUAUACUUCUAAACAUUAUUCCAUUAACAAACACAACCUUAGGGUUGAGUGGGUAAUUGGUUGACUAGUAUGAUUUAUUGGUGGAAAUAGUCAAAGGGAUAAAUCUACCAGUGGAAAACUUGGUAGUAUACCAAGUGCUUGGUGCUAUUAAUAGCAUAGCAGCCGGACUAGUCCAACUACUAUACUCUUAUAAGUAUGAUCGUUUAGUACUCAUAAGCCGUUUUUAAUGAUAGAAUUUUCGUAUCGACGAUCCAUAUUGUUAAACAAAAUUUAGAGCAUUUGAAACUUCUAGAAAUUAAAUUUUAUAAUUUUUCAACGUCAUUUACCUUAUGAUUAAAAAAAAUCUCAAAAUUUAUAAUUUUAACGGUCGAUAUGAGAUACUUACUAGUUUAACCAUGUAAAAGAAAUGGAGUUGUUUGAAUUUUCGGUGAAAAUUCUAUUCACUAUCUACAUCAAUAAUUCCAAUCUCAAAUUAAAAAACUUUGAUCCUCUAUUUUUUUGGAGGUCUUUCAAUUAUAAGCAUUCAUUUUACGCCAGCUUGAUGUAUUUUAUUAUAAUUUUAAAAAAAUUACGAAAUUCAUUUUUCAUAUGUUCAAAUGCUCUAGAUCAUAUUUAAUAAUAUGAAUCGUCGACUUAGAAGCUCCGUCAUUAAAAACAACUUAUGAGUACGAAGAAAGAGAGAGAAAGAGAAAGCAAAGAGUUACACUAGUAUGCUUUCAAAAACACGAAGGACUCCGUACUGUCAAAUUUAUUUUCGAUGAUUGGACAUUCAAAUAUUAGAAUUAUCUGGAGAGCAAAUUUGAUUUAUAGAUAUUUCAGUAUAGAUCAUAUCUAAAGAAAUCGAUCGUCAAAUCAAAUGUGCUAUCAUCGAAAACUAAAGUGAAAGUAUGAAAGCCUUCAUACUUUCGAAAACAUACGAGCCUACUUAUGUAGAGAUAGAAUAUUAUGGUCUCAUGAGUAGAAAGGCCUCUGGAAAUUUUUUUUCGAUAAUGAGACAUCCGAUUUGAUGAUCGGCUCUAUUAAAUAUGAUUUACACUAUUGAAACUAUUUAGAAACUCAAUUUUAUAAUUUUUUUUUCUUAUUUGCCUAGUGAACAAAUGGUCUCAAAAUAAACGGUUGAAAAUAAAAAUCUCACAAAAAAUAGUCCCAGAUGACUUAAAUCGAAAGUAUUGAUCUUGCUCUUGAUGGAAAAAUAAUUGUUUAUUAAAAUUCACCUAAUUUGAAUUUUUGUAUACCUUUGAACUUACAAACAUACCACAUUGGCUACUAAAAUAGUAAUUUUUGAGAUUCUAAUCACUUGGCAAAUGAUGUUGAAAAAUUAUAAAAUUAAUUUCUAGAUAGUUCCAAUAGCGUAUAUCAUGUCUAAAAGAACUGAUCGUCAAAUUAGAUAUCCCAUCUUAGUCUUCCAAGAACAUGAUGUGUCCAAAAUUGUAGGAGAGAAGUGACUCGGUUGUUUUUUUCUUUUUUUAAGAUAAAAGCAUGCUAUCUUUUUCAUUUUUUAGGAAAAUGAAUUUAGCUAUACGAGUAAGACAACUAGAUCUCCAAAAUGGAAGAUCAAAAUACUAAUAAAAAAAUAUAACAAAAAAGAAAAGAAACUGAACAAGAACCCUAACGCAUCAUUACCUACAAUUAAUGACUAUUAUAUAUAUUUGAUUUGAUGCACAUGCUUUGUGUUUAACAUCAGGAUGCCGCUGCUUAUGAGGAACCAAAGAAGGAUUUGAGGAGUAGAGGACUAUGCCUGGUUCCUGUGUCAUUCACCCUUCAUGUUGGAGGAGACAAUGGAGCUGAUUACUGGGCUCCGGCUUUCGGCGAGGAAUUCCGAUGAGAAGCUCGAUCGAACGCGCGCGCACCGAUCGACCAAUCAACUCGCGCCUGAUCAGUUUCGAUGCAUGCAUGGCGGAGAAAACAUGAACAAUUGUUCAAGGUGAGAUAGAUUGGUAAAUGUAGGACAUCAAACUGUAACAUAAACAGCAAAAUUAGGUGGUAGGUACAUAAUUAAACUAAUUAAUAAUUUGGUGAGGGGCUCCUUUGCUCUCUUGUAACUUGAAUUUUAUUGAAUGUAUUGUAGUGGUAUUGUAGUGGUAUUGUAGUAUGUUAGAUAAAUAUCAUGAAGAUUUAUGUAUGGUUGACGAUUUUAUACAUAUAUAUAAAAUCAAUAGCACCAAGAGCUUGGUGCUGUUAGUUUUUUAACCCUUGGAUUGAGAAAUGUGUGGUUAGAUGAUAUGGGCCCCCUAAGGUUGGGUAGGUGGUUGAUUGAAUAGUAUAAUCUAACGGGUAAAAAUAAUCAAAGAUUAAAUCUAACAGUGAAAAACUCGAUAGCACCAAACCCUUAGUGCUAUCGAUAGUAUCCCAGUCACUCUAUAUAUAUAUAUAUAUCUUCAUUAGUCAAGAAAUGUAUAUUUUUGUCCAAGAUGAGACAUUUUUCAGGAAUUAAACAUAUGUAGUAUGGUGAUUUUCCACACAAUUUCAAGAAAAAAAAAAAAAGAAAAAGGGUUCCUGAUUUUCCAUCUUUAAAUAUAAAUUCAUCGGCAUUAAAUUUUCAUUUCAUGAAAAACUAUAUUCAAAUUUUAUAGAGAAAUUUAAGAAUAUUACAUAACUAUUUAAUCAUAUCAGAUAACCACAAAGUCUACAACUGUAAUAGUUAACAAAAAACAUUUGUUAAAGUGUAACAAUAUAGAACAAUUCUCAUUCGCUACCAUUUUUGCUAUAAAAAAGUUGAGCUUUUUAAGUACCAACUUGUAAUACUUUUACGUUGCUUUUGAUGAUACAGCAUUUGAAUCGGUGAUCAAUAUUGUUAAAUAUGAUUUAUGAAUCGGUGAUUAAUAUUGUUAAAUAUGAUAUAGACACGUGAAAUUCCUAGCAACCAAAUUUCAUUAUCUUUCAACAUUUUUAACUUACCAUUCUAAGUGAUCUCAAAAUUAAUAAUUUUCAACAGCAUCAAUACAGUGCAUUUGAGACGACUUAGAUCAUUAGUUAAAUAAUGUUAGAAAUCAUGAAAUUUGGCACCUAAGAAGUUUCGUAAAUCAUAUUCAACAAAAUCAAUCAUCGAUACGUAUGCCCCAUCACUGAAAAUGAUGCAACAAUAUCAAGUCUACAUAUAAUUAUAUUAUUAUAUUGCCGAGCACGUGUGCUACUGGUAAAAUAUAAUUUAAAUAAGUUCAAGAUUUUGUUUAAAAAAUUUCCAAAAUUUCUAGAUCAAAUAGGAAAAAUCAUUGCCUACACCUAAUGCAAUCAUACAUCUACUUACGAGGAAUCAAUUGACAUUCCAUCCAAGGAUCAAAAUGAUCAAAAUGAGAUAGAUGCAUAGUGAAGGUUAAAACACUAGUGAUGCAACUUCAUAGCCAUACAAACUCUAUCAAAGUUGCUUUAUAAGCAGAUUAUUAAGAGAUCCUCAUGAGCACAUUGGCAAGUCCCAGAUCACCUGCCUUUGACAAGGCACAAGGAGAAACAAAACACUGCAAGCACCUCAGAAUCACCAGGAGUCUUCAGGACAGAGAGAUUUAUAACUUACAGCCAAAAGCACUAGAAGCACUAGAAACACUAGUGAAAGCUUUCUUACAGUGCCUUGAGAAUCUCAUCCGCCCCCGAUAUGGUGAACUGGCCGCCCUCCUCGAUGUUUGCGACCUUCACCUUGAGGUCGUCGACGAGAAGCGCGAACCUCCGGGAACGAGUCCCGAGUCCCUUCUCAGAAAGAUCGAGCUCGAGGCCCAGCGCGCGGGUGUACGCCCCCGAUCCAUCAGCGAGGAACUUCACGUGUUUGUUCUCGGGGUAAGUCUUAGCCCAGGCCUUCAUUACAAAGGGGUCGUUGACUGCAAACAUUUAUUAAUUAUAGAUAUCAAGUGCGAGCCAACUUAUGCGUUAAGAAAAAGGUACUUAUUGAUAGUUUUGCUGAUUUACUGAAUCCUUAAGAAAAGUUUUUGUUUUCUGAUGUAGAAGUGUGUUGGUAGCUAAAUGUAUGCAUUUACAGCUAACAAAGAAAAAAGUAAUUGAACUAUACCGCUGAUGAGAAGGAUUUCAUCAACACCCUUGGAUUUAAGUUCCUCGGCAUUCUGGAUGAAGCCAGGCACAUGCUGCAUGCUGCAUUCCAGAUUACAAUCAACCAAUUUUACGAUUGAAUUUGAAGAAGAAAUCAGAAAGAGCCAAAGUGAAAAAGUAGAAAAGAUGCAGGUGGUUAUGUCUGAAUCAAAUUAUAUGACACAAACAAACUCAUUUUGAAUCUCGUCAUGGGAUAAAAAAAAACUAAAAUUGGGUGGGAAAAAACACAGAGAGAGAGAGAGAGAGAGAGAGAGAGAGAGAGAGACCACACUCAGCAAAGACAAAGUAUGGUUUAAAAUGGAAGUUCUAUAGGCAUCAAUGUUCCAAAAGACAAUAUGCAAUGUCCAUGCGGUUUGCCUACUGUAUAGCGUGUCUGCAGUACGCGGGCGCAUAUAUGAGUUUGUAUGGCAUGAGAUGAGAUAACUAGUUGAUGUAUGAUAGUUUCGUUUGGUGUUCCAAUGACCAAAUGGUAAUACGCUGUCAAACUUCUCAUCUAGUAUAUAGGCAUAGACAUGUCGAAUGCCCUGAAUCAUGAUAAACAAAGAGAUCAUCACUUCGAAUAAUUAUACACACCAUGUUGUUAUAUACCAAGAAACAUUAGAGACGUCAUAGUCCUUGGGCAGUUUGGAGUGUCGGAUCAUCUGAAAACUAUAUGAGUUUGUAUCUCUUUUAACUUAUAAAACAGGUUAGAGAAAAAGUAAUCUACUUUCAGCACGAUCACACUUCUCUUAACUGGAGAUGCAUUAGAGAUAUUCAAAUAAGAUGAUAAUAUGUUUCGUAGUGUACAAUCAUGAUCAAGAAUAACUUCUAAAUUUAAGAACAUAACGUCUAUGGAACUAUAAUAUCAUGAUCACAAAUAAUUUCUAGUUGAUGCACAUGCAAGUAACAUAACAAAAAUAAAUGUAAUUAUUGUUUAAACAGAAUGUGUAAGCACUGUUUGCACACUCAUUCCGCAUGAAAUUAAUCAAUGAUCAUACUCAAAUUUUCACUGAAAACACACAAAAUGGCCAACAACAAAAUGAAGAAAAUGCUUCCACCUCUAUCUUUCCAAGAUUCGAGGAGUGCAUCGAGUGUGAUGCGUAAACAACAAAAGCUCAAAGUUUUGUGCGAAGGGCAUAAACAGGACGGAACUGGUAUAGUUCAUAUUCAUUAUAUAUCUGAAAAUUAUAGGUUAUCAAUCCAAACUCGAUCUAGUGAAUACAACAUGUAUUAGAUUUUUAUAAUUUGAGGCUUGUUUUGAAUUUCUUGUUUCGAACUAAUGCUAAGAGCUCAUGAUUUUUUUUUAAAAGAAUUGAGCCCUCAUCACAUAUAACUCCAACUAAUAGAGUAAAAUUGAAAGAAAACCAUCUGCUUCAAUCUGAAUUAAUUCUAACAAUCAAAGAAAGAUUAAUUCUCACUUCAGAAGCCAUGCAAGUCAAUAAACUUAUUUGAAGCUAUUAUACUAGGCAUACAGGCAACACAGUCAAUUCCAAUUAAAUUCGUGUUCAAAUCAAGGAGUUGGCGGUUCUUACCUUGUAUUAAUACGGAUUUAGUGAAUCAUAAAUAAGUCGGUAACAAGAUAGUCUGUCAUUUGAAGAAAUGUUUACAAGUUGUUGUGUUUGGGGUUGUAGAUAAUUUGCGGAACCAAGUGCUCUUAUAUUUGGAUUAUUCAGCAAUUUGUGCACAACUACAGUAGAUUCUAAAUUGAAUGUUAAAACUAAUCUUAUGGCAUUUAUUCCAAUCUAACUCCACGCCCAUAAUAUUGAAGAGAAAGAAAUUAAGAUUCAGAUCCCUCUCUGUAUGAAGCAAACUUAAAGAAAGUAGCUUAUUAUUAAAUUUCCAAAAACAUUUUUCUUCCUCAUCUCAUCUUCUUUUAAACAAAACAAAAAAACCUAAUAGAAAAUAAUCAAAAAAAAAAAAAAAAAAUCAGUACUCAAGACUGACCUGAUAUGAAAAGAAAUAAGUUUUAUUUGCUAAAAGAUUAAAACAUCAUUCUCUACAAGUGUUCUCUUCAUGUUUUGGGUUAAACUUUCUUCAUUAAAACUAUGUUAGUUAAAAACUCAAAAUAAUAUAGAACAGUCUAAGAAUAUGGUAAACAGUUGAAAAUAUGUAACCUAUUAAAUACUGAUGAUGGAUCUGUCAUCCUCAUGGAAUAUGAUGGUAUUAGGGCUAGUUAUGAUACCUAACUAACUAGAAAUCGAUUCAAAAAUAAUCUUAACACAUGUAGUAACCAAGACGAAAAAAAACACGAAAGAAGGCAAGAAAGAAUCCCUCGUUCUAGCUCUUUCAAGCUCUCCUUUCAGAAUUCCAGCCAGCAACAAGGAAAAACAAAAGAGAAAAAAAAAGGAUAUAGGAAAGAAAUGAGUCUAUGAUUAGAUAAGAUGGUGAAGAUGGACAUUUUUAUCUUCUUGUGGUUGAUUAGGUUACAAUCGUUGACUUUAAUGGGCCAGCAUCCUGCCCCAUGACGGAGGCCGGAAUGAGCCGAUCACAGUUGAAGCCCACGGACACUGUGUGUCUAUACACUUUAAGUGGAUGGCUUGCACCCUUUUGAACAGCUCGAGCUUUUGGAGUUAGUGGUUAACGUCUUCGAUCCACAAGUGGUAUCAGAGCCAGUGGCGUGGGUUCGAUUCUCGCAUACUAAAAAUGUGCCCAAGUGCCGAGUGGGGUAUUGUCGGCUUUUAUAGGCCAGCAUACUGCCUUGUGACAGAGGCCGGGUUGGGCCGUAUCACAGCCGAAGCCCGCGGAAGCCGUGUGCCUAUAAACUUUAAGUAGGUUGGUUGCGCCCUUUCUAAAUGCUCAAGCUAUUGGAAUUAGUGGUUAAUGCCUUCGAUCCGGAGCAAUAAAUGCACGCCGAGUCGCCGACAGGUAAAGAAGUAAAGAAAAGUUACUUCCAUUUUUUUUUUCUUUUUGAGAAAAAGGUAGCAAGCUACCAGCUUCAUUCAUUGCGCAAAUGAAUUAAGCUCCAAAUUUUAGGCAACAAGGCUUCCAGAUGUCCGCCAAAUCAAAAGAAAAUACAAGGAGAAUAAAUGGGACAAAAUAAAGGGUUCGGAGGGCAUCGCCUCCGCCGGUCCACCGUGCCGCAGUUAGAGUGGCAAGCCAAUCAAGUAUAUCGCAUGCACGCGAUCUAACAACUAAAAGACUACUUGACAUGGAUUAAUUAUCACUUCUCUAUCCAAUCUGCUUAAAUUGAAUAAAAUCCUAGUCUCUAAACAAAAGGAAUCGCAAAGGGUAUAUCCAUUAUUAUCAAAUCAUACAGAAGAGUGCCGGACAAAGGAGGAGAAACCAGACGACCCAAGAUUCACUUGCUGGUGAUGUUCGAAUCACCGCCGAACUUCUCAGCUCCACAGAUCCAUCAAGACAUGCUUUUCUAUAGCACUCUAAAAACAAAUUUCUGUUUUAAUUAUUACUCACAAAAAUCUUGGGCAUCAGUAACCUACCAUAUGGAUCUCAUCACAAUAAAUCAUCAUCUUCCCCACACCCAAUUUGUAACCCUUGCAUCAAUCUUUCUAGUAAGAUUAAUUUCAUAUACCUUUCACAUCCGUUUUGGCAGGCAAUAUUCUAUGCACACUUCCAUGUUACGACGAGCGCAGAAACAAAAACGAGACGACGAACCUGCAGGUAGGGGUGAAGGCGCCGGGGACGCCGAAGAGGACGACCUUCUUGCCGGCAGCGAGGGAGUGUACGGACAGCUUCUGCAGCUCGUCCUUCUCGUCGAACCACGCCACCGUCCCGUCCGGAAGACUGUCGCCCACCCCAAUCGGAGCCAUUCUUUGUUUCCCCUUUUUUUUUCUGGAUUUUCUUCUUUCCUCACCUCCUCUUAUAAUGAGAUCGGAUAGACCGGAGCUAGCAGAGGGCAAACUUCAAAUACAACCCUGUGGUUUCACACUUUUUUACUUUGGUAUAUUAAAGUGUACCAAUUUAGUAUUCUAUAGUUGUAUUUUUCUCUUUUCGUCAACUUUUUCGUUAAUAUUUUGUUAAAUUAUAUACAAAAAAUUUCAGAUAUUCUGAUACCCUCACCUAAGUUUAUUGAAUAUUCAUUUUAGUACCUUUUAAUUUUAACUUUGUCACUGAUUUAACAGAUAAAAAUAGUGAAAGGAUAUUAAAUAUUCAUUUUAGUAUAUCCUGAUAUCCUGAUACCCUGACCUAAGUUUAUUGAAUAUUCAUUUUAGUACCUUUUAAUUUUAACUUUGUCACUGAUUUAACAGAUAAAAAUAGUGAAAGGGAUAAUAAAAAGAAAAAAUAAAAUUAUAAAAUACUAAAUUGAUACACUUUAAAUUAUAUAAUAUUAAUAUAAAAAAUUACGAAAUCAUAGGAGUAGUAUUUCAAGUUUUUUCUUGACUGAGUGAGGAGAAGAGAGAUGAUAUGAUAGGAUAUUAAUAUAAUACAAGCCUUCCGAGCAAAAAUAUACGAGAACCCCCUCAACUAUAACGUCGUCCUAAGAAAGGCUCAAACUUUUUUAAUCGGUUCAAUUGCUUAUUUCAGGAAUAAGUACAAGUUCAGACAUAUAUAGAAAAUAGACUAAUUUUAUAUUUGGAUGAAAAUUGAGUUAUUCCUGAGAAUAAAAUAAAUAGUAUUUGAAUAAUUAGAUUAGAACAAGAGGAACAAAGAGUUAUCAUUUUAAAUUAAAACUAUUUUAUCUAAUUAAUUAAAAUCAAAAUAUUACUUAAAAAUAAUUUUAAAAAUUAAUAAAUUUAUUAGCUAUGAAUAUUAUGUAAGAUAAUAAAAAUAUAUUUAUUUAUUAAUUAAUUAAUUAUAAAACUAAUUUAAUUUUUAAUUAGUUAGUAAAUUAUUUUAAUUAGAUAAGUAGUAAAAAAAAAUGUAAUUAGGUUAAUAAAAAUACUAAUUGUUGAUCAAUAUAAAUAUUAGUUUAUAGAUAAACAUAUUAAAUUAUUAAUAAUUAGCUAAUUAAUUACAAGUAAUAAAUUAAUUAAUUUUCUUAUUAUUUAAGCAAUAAAUAAUAAUUUAAAUAUAUUAAUUAAAUUAAUUAAUAAUUUAAUAUUAUAAUUAAAAUAAAUUUUAGAUUUUAAUUAAUCUUAUUUUCAAUUGGGAACAAACUUAUUUCAGAAAAAAUGGUGGAACAGUAGUUCCAACUUUAUAUUGAGUUAUACCAACUUAUUUUAAAGAUCCGAAAAUUACUAUUUUCGAUACGAAAAUUUUUGUUUGGGAAUAAAAGGAGAAACAGAGCCGGACCAAACACUGUCCUAUUUUAUUGGACAUCAUAUUUUUGCCAUCGAAUCUUCAUUUUUUAAACGAUAAAUAGAGAAAUUUUAUCAAACUUAUUAAUGCUGGAUCAAUUUUUAUAUUUAACUAACUAGAAUAUUAAUUAGAUAAUUUUUAAUUUAAUCAAUCUUAAUAACAGUUAUAAAAAUAAAGUUAACAAUUUUUUAAUGAAAAAAAAAUGCCAAGUUAGGCCUCGCGUCAUUGUUUUUUAUAACUCUUUUAAUAAUUUAUUUUGUUCUCAAAACUUAUAAUAUGCUCUCAUCAAGUGAUUAACAAAAAAUUUAUUAAAAAGUUUUGAACGCAAAGUAAACUUACUUUUAUAAUUUUAAUUUUUUGAAUAAAAAAUAUUUUUGCUAUAUAAAUUAUAAAUAAUUCAUUAAUUUCUUUUACAUUAUUUUAUAUAAGAAUUUUAUUUCAAAAAAGAGUAAACUUCAACUAUCACUCCGGUGGGUUUUGUAUUUUCUCACUUUAGUACCAUGUGGUUUAAAGAGUAUCAGUUUAUUACCAUAUAGUUUCAUUUUUCUUUUCUGUCAGCUCUUCCGUUAACAUUUCGUUAAAUUAUUAUAGGCUAACUUACAGAAAACUUUCCUGUCAAAAUCCAAUUUUUCACUUUUUUCCCCUGUCAUUUAAAAACCUACACUUUACCCCAGAGGGUACAGUAUGAACUAUGAUGGUAAAAUGAUCAUUUUGCCCCUCACUAUGUUCACAUUAGGAAAGAAGGCUGAGAGCAUUUUUGGCAUAAAAAAAUAUAUAAUAAUAUUUUAUAAACGGAACCCUAACGGAUUACUAACGGCAAGGGGCGAAGUGAACAUUUUUCAUUUUAUAAGGAGGCAAAGUGUAGAUUUUUAAAUGACAAGAGGGGAAAGUGAAAAAUCGAAUUUUGAUAGGAAAUUUUAUGUAAUUUAGCCAUUAUUAUAUACAAAAAACUUUAGAUAUCCUAACUAGGCUUAUCAAAUAUUCACUUUACUGUCUUUUAGUUUUAGCUUUGUCACUAAUUUAAUAAAAAAAAAUUAGUGAAGGUGAUAAUAAAAAGAGAAAAAUAAAAUAACUGAGUACUAAAUUGAUACACUUUAAAAGGUUAAUUUCAUACAGGUCCCUACAAAUAUAGUGAAUAGCAGAUAUAUCCCUGCAAAGUUCAACUUUCAUAAGUUAUUCCUGCAAAAGUCUUAUUGUAUUCAGAUAUGUCCCUGCCGUUAAUACCUGUUAGAGAAAUCUAGUUAACUACAGUUAAAAUACUUAACCAUGAUUAGUUAAUAAAGUAAAAUGACAUUUUUACCAUUCUUCUUCUUCCCCUUCCUCUUCUUCUUCCUCUGCUUCUUCUUCCUCCUCUUCCUCUUCCUCUUCCUCUCCUACUUCUUCUUCCUCUUCUUCUUCGUAUCCUCAUUUUCCUCCUUCUUUUCUCCUCUUUCUUCUUCUUCGUCAUCGUCGUCGAUGAUCCGAUCGUCGUCGCCGUCGUGGUGCCUGCGCCGGCCGUCGUCACGGGCGCCUCCGACGGCAUCGGUCGCGCCUUCGCCUUCCGCCUCUUCCUUGUCCUUGUUGGCCGCAACCGCGACAAGCUCCGCAAGGUCGCCGCCGCCGCCGCCGCCGUCUGCUCCCACAGCAUGAAGAGGAAGAGGAAGAGGAAGAUGAAGAGGGCAAGAGCAAAAUAGUAAUUUUACAACUCUACUGUUAAAAAAUUAAUAGUUCUCUAACAGAUCCAAACUAAAAGGACAUAUCUGAAUAUAUUAAGACUUUUACAUGAAUAACUUAUAAAAAUUAAACUUUAUAAGGAUAUAUCUGUUAUUCAUCAUAUUUGCAGGGACCUAUAUAAAAUUAACUCCACUUUAAAUUAUAGGGUUAGUAUUUAAAGUUUUUUCAAAAAAAAAAGUGACAAUAACCAAGAGAGGCCUCCUUUUGGAAACAACGUGUAGUUGAGGGGCUUCAAGCAUUAUUAUCACAAAACUGAGGUGGGAGCAGGUAUGCCAUUACUACGAAGUGCUACAGUCCACGCUGGUGUGCCUCCGAUUCUUCGCCCGCGAAUAUUCUAAUAAAAAAUUUAAAUAAAUUAAAAAAGAUAUUUAAAAUUUGACUAAGGGUGUAUUUGGUUACUUGUAAAAUCAUCUAAAAACCUUUUUUGGGUUGAAAAGUAAAAUUUUGAUGAUUAUUUACUUGUAAAAAAUAAUAGUUUUUUUAAAAAAAUUACGAACAAAAAAGAAAAACGAAGUUUUUAUUUUACACUUGAACCGAGUGGAAAACAAAAACACGUGGCCUUGUGCGCUGCGUUGGGGAGACAAAGCACGCUGCCCACGAGGUCCACUCCACAUCGUAGACUGUAUUAUAAAUAUUAUUUAUAAAUAUAUAGUAAUUUAUUUUUUAAUAUUAUAUACUAUUAUGAUCGACCGUCUCUAUAGCAAGUGGCAAAGAGCUUGAUGGUUGGUAUCUGAGACCCAAGUUUGAAUCCUAGUUGAUUCACAUUUUUAGCUAAGUUUAUUUCUAAAUGAAAUAAAUGAAGCGGGUAGCGUGCUAUGUAAGGACUGAGAUUUUUUUUACUGUACAACUAAACUCUCUGUUGACGAUGUUUAUGUGUGUAAUUUAAUUACAUAAGCACUCGUCAAGUUUCAGGAGAAAAUGAGCUAAAACGGAGAAGUUACGCGAUUAUUAGUUUUCACUUAAGUGAAUAGUAACUCCGGUUUUUCGGAGAAGCCACGGAGUAGAGUUGGCUUCUGGUGCGUAUCGNACUCUGCUAAUAUAUGUAGUAUAAUAAUUAUUAUAUAUAUUAAUAAUACAUAUAUAUAUAUAUAUUAUAUAUAAUAAGAAAAAAUAUAUAUAAUAAUUUUUUAAUGAUAACUUUUUUUCUUUCAACCAAACAACUGUAACAGAAAAUUAUUUUUUUUCCCUACAAAUCAAGCAUUAUAGAGCGUAAAAUUUAUUUUCCUCCGAAAAUAUUUUUCUACCGAAAAUAUUUUUUCUACCGAAAAUAUUUUUUCAUAGUUGAGUUUUACAUGUGGGCUAGAUGGAUUAGUCCAUAUCCAAACUAAAAUAUAAGAUGUUUUUGACGUUCUUUUCUUUUUAAAAUUUUUUUAAUAUUUUGAAAGAAAAAACAGCAAACUAUUUAUUUUAUUUAUUUUUAAAAAUAAACUAAGUUAAAACUAUAAAUUAACUAAAUUUCAAAUUUGAAAUCUCAAACUAUUAAUUAUCAAAUUCUCAGCCAAUUAUAUUAGAUACCAUUAGUCAAAAGAAAAUAAGAAUAAUUAUUUAUAUACCACUGAAAAAUCCCACACUUUCUUAUAUCCCGUCGAAAGCUUAUAUAAAAAUUAUAUUUUUANCAUAGUCUUUUCUCACAUUCACAUGCAUAUAGGGUUAUUCGUUUCCUUUGUUCACAUAGUUCUAUAUCACUCACAAUGAUCUUAAGCAGAUAAUUGAUGCCACCAACAAAUACCAUUCAUUACCCUACAUGCAAGAAUGCUAUAAUACCAACAUGCUCAAAAGAAAUAACAUAGACAUAGAAAGAGACUCGGUAUUUUCGAAUAGCACCCCCUAUAUUUUAAUGUUACGAGGAUGCCGAAACGCAAUUUUCUGGAUUUUUUGAAGCCUUGUACGCCGCGAACGGCGACAAACUAUAGUAAAUCAGCUUGUUUCCUUAAUAUCUUCGCGCACGCUCGUCGUAUCGCCGAACGGAGCGCACCAACGCGUUCGUUGACCUACCAAUUAGGUUAGAAUGAGAUCAAUCCCAAGCUUCGACCUCAUUUUUUACAAAAUCCCAAAUUUGGGUCCCUCAACAAUAUCAUCUUCACCAUUUUUGGUCCUCAACAUGAAGAAAAUGGAGAAAAUCCACCAUAGAGAUCUCUAGAUGCUUCAACUAGAAGCAAAAAUCCAAAACCUAACUUACAAUCACAAGAACUCACCUUUGGAGCCCAAGCUUUCCUUCAAAAGCCCUUGCCUAGCUUGCUCUUCACCUUGGAGAGCUUCUUCUCCAAGCUUUUCUCCUCCAAGCCCUCCUUAGUCCAAGCCCUAGAGAGAGAGGGAGAGGGAGAGGAGAGGUUUUUAGAGAGAGAGAGGGAAAGGUCUUGUGUUUGGGUGUGAGGGAAAUGAGAGUUAACCCUAACUCUACCAUCAUAACAUCCAAUCCAUGCUACAAUUGCACUUAAGCCCCUCUCAUUUUUAUUUUUGCAAACAGCCCUUAUUGUGCAAAUCCCGCAGUCGAGGAACGGUCUCUCCCUUAGGGACCGGUUCCCGAGAGCUCUCUCGCAGCCUUCGCAGAAGGGGACCGGUCUCCCCCCGGUGCAACCGGUCUCUCGGGACCGGUCUCUCGCCAUAGGGACCGGUUCCCGAGAGCUCAAUUUUCAGGACUUAGCCGAUUUUUCUCUCUUUUCUAUGGCUGCGUGUGCGGGGACCGGUCUCUUCUUCAGGGACCGGUCCCCGAGAAUCCAAAAUUCUGGGACUUAUUCAUUUUUCAGAAUUCACUCUCUCGGGUCCCUUUUUCACUCUAUAUAGGUUCUAAUGCACUUAGAGCCUAUACCAACUCGUUCCACUCCGCGUUCUGCUCACUUCGACGGAACUCAGCACGACUCACGGGGAAAUGCUAUGUUACAGCCUAUAUACUAUGAAUAAGAAAAAUAUAAUAGUCCUUCAGUAAAUAUAUUGUUUUUAUUUCACUCUAUUGCAUAAUUGAUUAGAUUUUUUAUAGUUUGCAUGUUCAAAUAUAUAUUUUCUGACUGUUUUAUUUUCUUUUUUUUUUGUAAUAUUUGAUUCUUAUUAUUUUUGUUGCCUCAUGACAGUUAUAUUGUAGUGUUUCAGCAAAUAUAUAUAUUUUGUCAUUUUAAUCCUAUUUCUUAGUUGAUUAGGUUUUUUGUAAUUUUUGUUUUCACACACUACAACAAAAAUAGAUAUUUAGUGGCAAUUUAAUAACGGCAAUUAUCGAAUGACUGUUAUUAUUUAUUAUCAAAUUAUAUUUAGCAGUAAUUAUUUUAAGGGGUUAAUUUCAUACAAGUCCCUACAAACAUGGUGAAUAGCAGAUAUAUCUCUGCAAAGUUCAACUUUCAUAAGUUAUCCCUACAAAAGUUCUAAUGUAUUUAGAUAUGUCCCUGUCGUUAAUACCCGAUAGAGAAAUCUAGUUAACCACAAUUAAAAUACUUAACCGUGAUUAGUUAAUAAGGUAAAAUGACAUUUUUACCCUUCUUCUUCUUCUUCUUCCUCUGCUUCUUCUUCCUCUUCCUCUUCCUCUUCCUCUUUCUCUUCCUCUCCUGCUUCUUCUUUUUCCUCUUUUUCUUCGUAUCCUCAUUUUCCUCCUGUAUGAAAUUAACCCUAUUUUAAAUUAUAUAAUUUUUACAGACUAAUAAUAACUAGUUUAGGAACCCGCGCGAUGCGGCGGAUAGAAAUUAUAAUCAAAAUUUACAAAUUAAAUAUAAACAAUAAUAAAAAAUAUGAUCGGUUAAUAAUAUAAAAAAAAUAUAUUACAAGAAAUUAGAAUGAGAAUAUAAUCCAGUGGAGAACAAAGAAAGAAAACAAAAAGAAAGAACUAUAGGAAAAUAAAAAUUAUUGUAUAGAUAGAAAUAAAAAAAGUAAUUUAAUGCAAGAAUAUAAGAGAGAAAAAAAUUUGGAGGUGAUUUCGUUAGGGUUGGUUUCGUUAUUUGACGAAUUAAUGGGCUUUGGUUUCUUCUUUUCUGCAUCAAAAUCAAAUUUCAAAAAAAAUAACAAUUAAAAUAAAAUAAAAUUAGUAGAAAAAAAAUAGAGGAAAAAAUUAUUUUUUAAAUUCAUUGAAAUGUAAAAUCUCACCUGAAAGAAGGCUUCGGAUUCAUAGCUCUUUGAUUCAUCGUCACAUGCUUUUUCUCUGCACUAAAUCAAAUCAAAAUUAUAAAAAUUAGUAUUUAAAAAUUAAUAAUAAUAAUAAUUUGGAACCUAUAAAUAUUAU
Molecule: long non-coding RNA, 44311 nt
Filed under: Ananas comosus (pineapple)
Lineage: Eukaryota; Viridiplantae; Streptophyta; Magnoliopsida; Poales; Bromeliaceae
Description: long non-coding RNA (ACOM_LNC018233)
Source: RNAcentral